This 59413-nucleotide long non-coding RNA is filed under the name Setaria viridis. RNAcentral describes it as "long non-coding RNA (SVIR_LNC011467)". The record is from RNAcentral. Lineage: Eukaryota; Viridiplantae; Streptophyta; Magnoliopsida; Poales; Poaceae.
UUUUUUUUUUUUUUUGCGAGAGCUAGGCGGCUCAUUUCUCUCGUGAGCCCCACCAAUUUUGGACCAGAAUAUAUAGUAUCAACAUAAGGCCACAAAAGCGUAGCGUGACGUGUACGGUUUAAUUUUAAUAAGUGCGUUUGAGGUCAAAUUUACACAUAAUUUCCCUGUUUCAAAUCGUUUUUGAGAAAAGUUCUUUUUUUCUUGAGGGACUUUUUAGAAAAGGGAAACAUAACCAAAAUUUUUGCGCAUCUGAGAGAAACGACGUCAGGCAGGCGCGGUAGAAUCUUUGGUCGGCCACGGCCCGCACCCAAUCACCAAUCACCCAACCCAACCCAACCCAAAGCAGCAGAUGACAUCCGCACGCCGCACGGGCCGUCGCCACGGCGUCUGCCAGCGCAUGACGGCGGGUCCCGACCUGCGCAUACAUAUCCUCCUGACCACCAUCCACGUCAUGCCCCCGUGAAAUCCCGGGCCUGCCCCUCGCGGGGCCCACGGGAAUCCGGUUGACCCUGCUGCCCCAACCCGCCAAUGCGUGGUCCCCCCCCGGGCAAGCUGGCGGUGAGGAGAUUCCGUCGUCAUCGUGCGGCUGCACAAACAAAGAUGCAGGCGCAGAAAUAGGCCACUCCGAGGACGCCUGGGAGGGAUUGGAUUGCGCUGCACAAGUACGAUACCACCACCGCCUCCGACUCUCUGACCUCACCUCUCUCUCCCUGUCUUUUCAGCAGAAUCCAUCUGAUCCACGAGAGUACGCAGACAAGAUCGCUGCUUCAGUCCUGCAGAAACAGUGCGUGUGUCUCUGUGAGAUGGAUCGGUCAUAGAGAGACCGCGAAGGCAAGAGCUACCUGCUGCAUCAACUGUUUUAUUGGCGAGCUGCUGCGGCGACGAGAGAUCGGCAUGCCAUGAGGUGGGUUAGUUUGUUCAUGGCGUCUGAUGCAGUAGAGCACUAGAGCUGCGCGUGUGUUUUUCCUUUUUCCCCUUUCGUCCUGCCCUGUCCUGUUCUUGCUUCCGUUAUCUCGUGGGAAGGGGGAGGCAGGAGCACCAAUGGUCAAGUUGCGGCUGCCGGCAGGAUGGAUGGAGGACCGGUUGGGUUGGUGAAAUGGCUAGUGUGCCCGUCUCGUGUUUCUUACUGCUACCACUUUCUUCCUCCAUUGGGGGGUGGGGGCGUGUGACCGCGAUGUGCCUGGCUCUCCUUUCCGCGAUGGGGAUGUUUCGUCCGUAAGCUCAGCUCUGCCUCUCCCCAGUCGCCCUACCCUGCUCGCCUUGUGUUGUGCGGACUAGUGGCGUCCGUUGUGGCAGCCAUGCGCCUCGAAACCAAAAAGAUCGCCUAUUGCGUGCUCGAUUCCUUGGAGUAUUUGACGGACAGUAUUAUCGUUUUCUUCUUUCUGGUGCCCAGUUAAUCCAGGCUCCUUGGUGGUUCGUGGCUCGCGUUCGUUGCUUGCUUGGCUCAGGCGCUGCGGCCGCGGAGGCGGCGGCGGUUCUCGUGUGCUCCUUUCCCCGAUUGGCAUGCCAAGAUUCUGAGGUCGGGUCAGUGAGCGAGCUACUUGAGGUUGAUGGAGCAGCCGGCGGCGCAGAAAGACGAGGACGGCUUGCUGGGUUACGCCGUCAUGGAGGACGUUGCGGUCGGCGACCUGGAUCUCAUGGAGGAGCUGUUCAUGGCGGCGCCGGGGUUCGAUUUCUCCGACUUCUCGCAGCCCGGGCCCGGCGCGUCUCCGGGGGCCUGCUUCUCGCCGCUGUUCGACAUCUGCAGCACCACCACCACGGCGACUCCCCCCGCGCCGGCGGGCGACGACGACAGGGACGACACGGAGAGGCCCGAGGCGCGCCGCGCCUGGCUGUUCCAGCCCAGGCAGGAGGUGGAGGCCACGGUGAAGGAGCGGAUGCGCCGCGCGCUGGAGCGCAUCGCGCAGACGCAUCCCGGCGAGCUGCUCGCGCAGGUCUGGGUCCCCACGCUCAUCGGCGACCGCCAGGUGCUCACCACCUGCGGGCAGCCCUUCUGGCUGGACAGCCGGAACCAGCGCCUCGCCAACUACCGCUCGGUGUCGAUGAAGUACCAGUUCUCCGCCGACGAGAGCGCGUGCGCCGAGCUAGGGCUGCCCGGCCGCGUCUUCGUCGGCCGAGUCCCCGAGUGGACGCCCGACGUCCGCUACUUCUCCACCGAGGAGUACCCGCGCGUCCACCACGCCCAGUUCUUCGACAUCCGCGGCAGCGUCGCGCUCCCCAUAUUCGAGCCCCGCAGCCGGGCAUGCCUCGGCGUCGUCGAGCUCGUCAUGACCACGCAGAAGGUCAACUACAAUGCCGAGAUAGAGAACAUAUGCAGUGCUCUCAAGGUAGAUUGCCCAUUGCUGCUCCUUUUCCUCUUUUCGAUCCUCCAAUCCCCACUUCUCUGCAGACUGCAGGCUAUGCUGUUAUGCUCUUAACCUGUUUGAUGGUAUGCCCUUAGGAAGAGACGUGCUACUACCGGGCACACCAAUCCCCGAAGUAAUCCGUCUUUUCACUUUCCUUUGUUUGGUGGUGUUCUUGCCUCAGUAAGAUUGUGUUUAUGCAAACUUGCAGGAGGUAGAUCUCAGAAGCACUGAUGUUUCAAGUGAUCCCCAUGCAAACGUGAGCUUAAAUGUAUGAACAUCAUAUUGUUGUACUGAUAGUUGAAAGCCUGAAAUGUUGUUAUCGGUAACAUAUGUUGCUUAUUCCUUGUUAGGUGGCUGAUACUUCUUACCGAGCAAUUGUACCGGAGAUCAUUGACGUUCUCAGAACUGUUUGCGAGAGACACGAGCUGCCACUGGCCCAAACAUGGAUACCAUGCAUCUGCCAAGCAAAGAGGGGAAGCCGCCACUCCGAUGAAAAAUUUAAGUACUGUGUGUCGACUGUGGACGAGGCAUGUUACAUUCGUGACCCAAAUGUAACGGGCUUUCACCAAGCUUGCUCCGAUCAUCAUCUGUUCAGGGGUGAGGGUGUUGUUGGUAGGGCAUUUGGGACAAACGAGCCAUGUUUCGCCACGGAUGUUACUGCCUACAGCAAGGCCCAAUACCCUCUCUCACAUCAUGCAAAACUUUUCAACUUGAAGGCUGCAGUUGCCAUCCGGCUGCGAAGUAUCAGGACUGGAAGCCUUGACUAUGUCUUGGAAUUCUUCCUGCCAGUGGACUGUAUAGAGAGCGAAGAGCAAAGGGCCAUGCUUAAUUCUUUGUCCAUUACAAUACAGCAGACCUGCUAUACAUUACGAGUUGUCAGCUUAAAAGAACUAGUGGAUGAAGGAUCAUUUGAAACAAGUACAGUAACCCCAGCAGAAUUUUAUGAAAAGCCCAUUCAUGAAAACUUGGAUGAGGUUUGUAGCAACAUUGAAGUUCCUGUGAGGACAACAUCGCUGGAAACUUCUGAGGAGGUAACUUCAUGGAUAGCAAGCCUUGUUGAUGCUCAAAGUAAGGGAGUGAAAGAAAUGGAUGGUGACCUGCCAUUUGGAUUCAGCAAGCAAGAGGAUGAAGGGUUCAGUGUUACGGCUGGCUGGCAUACUCCACCUGUCCUAGGCCCUAAAGGUACCAUCUUUUCAGGGUUUAAGCAUCACGAAGAAUAUGAGGUCAAGGAGCCUAUUUGUUCCAGACAUCCAAGCCCUUCCAAUUUGGACAAAACAGUCGAGAAGCGGCGCACUAAGAUGGAGAAAACUGUUAGCCUGGAAGAGCUUCGGAAGCAUUUUGCUGGCAGCCUGAAAGAAGCUGCAAAGAAUUUAGGAGGUAACUUCUGACCCACACAUCUUUACAGUUCUUUGCCACUCCUUUUGUUUUAGUACUUUCCUCUGUUUGGAUGGAUAGGCACUUAGGCAGUAGCUUCUAGAUAGCCUGCUGAAAACAACGUCAUCUUCCAAUGCCCAUAACUUCAUUUUCAUGCUACAAAUAGAACUGUAAAACUUUUACUCAGUGUUAUUGCUGCUGAAGAAUGCAUGGAAUCCUAUUAGCUGAUAGUUGGGAUGUAAAUUAGGUGUGUAGUGUGUGAUCAGGAGGGAUACUUCGAAUCAAACAUACUUUUAUAAAAAUAUUAUUUAUUGAUCUAGCUUCCAAUGUUUUUGCUCAGUUGCAAGCGAAAGGUACAACGGUCUUAAUUUUUCAUUUCCUGUUUGCGUAGAUCCUAACUUCAAUGUCUAUACUAUGUCUAACCAUUUCAACUACCUGUUUCAGUGUGCCCUACAACAUUGAAGAGGAUAUGCAGGCAACAUGGAAUUAAUCGUUGGCCAUCACGGAAGAUCAAGAAAGUUGGGCACUCCCUGAAGAAAUUGCAAAUGGUGAUUGAUUCGGUACAUGGUGCUGAAGGAACAGUUCAGCUCAGCUCGCUCUAUGAAAACUUUACCAAGACCACAUGGUCAGAAAGAGAGUUACAAGGGGAUGGCACUUAUCCAUUAUCUGAGCAAAAAGGUCACUUGGAACCUUCGGUUCCUGAUCGGCAGUGCGAGGGCAGAUUCACUUCGCAUACUUCUGGCUCUAAUUCCAUGUCCCCUUCGUGCAGCCAAAGUUCAAACUCCAGCCAUGGUUGUUCCAGUGGUUCAAAAUCGCAACAGAAUGGCAGUGCUCCUCAGCUUGCAGUCAAGCAAGAAGUUUUCAUGGAGGAGAAUCAGAGCUCCACACUACUGAAAGCUGCGAGCCAUGCAGAACUGCAAAUGUUUACCGAAGAAAGACCUGUCACCCUGCCUAGGUCUGAGAGUCAAAUGCUUUUAAGUGAACUAAAGCCAGUGGAAAACAUGUCAGGCAUGCAAAAGUCUAAGCCCGAAUCCCUCAAAAUAAAAGCCAUGUAUGGUGAAGAAAGAUGCAUAUUCCGACUUCAACCUAGUUGGGGUUUUGAAAAGCUAAAAGAAGAAAUUGUAAAGCGGUUCAGCAUUGGUCAGGAGAUGUAUGUGGACCUCAAGUACUUAGAUGAUGAAUCUGAGUGGGUUCUUUUAACAUGUGAUGCGGACCUGCUGGAGUGUAUUGAUGUGUACAAGUCAUCAAGUGCUCAAACAGUAAGAAUAUUGGUAAAUGCUAAUGUUCAGCCAGUGCUUGGUCCUUCCUUUGGUCAAACUGGUUUGUCCUGACAAUGGCACAAUGCCAAUCCAGGAUGCAGAGCAAGCAUCGCAUCUCUAGUUGAAGUAAGAAGUUUGACAUUGCCCUCGGUUUUAAGUCAUGAUAUGCACAGGCAGCAUAUGUAAAUACCUAUAACUUUGUUACCAUCCAAUAGUCAGAUGCCCAGCAAACCAUGAUCAACCAAUAAUCAAGUGGCCAGAAAAUUCUGUCUAGUGCUGCUGGGUAUGUGCUAGAGCUGGAAAGGAAGUGAUUGUCGGUGUUCCCUGUUAGCAGUUGGGAUUAAUUUGUAUGCAGUAAACUGCAUACAGUCUUGUUCGUGGCAGCAGAAGAUGGAAAAUUGUGCUUCUAUUUCAGUUUCAUAACUGUAGAAGUAGUCUAUUGCAGUUGCAGUUACCAAACUAGUGUACAGCAAAUAUAGGUCAGAGGGUGAACUAGUAGUGAUUUGUCGAAAUGAAGCUUUGGAUUAGGUUUAGCAGUCAUUAACAGGUUAGUGCACAGGUGUAAGUUUUUUGGGGGUUUUACCUGUUCAAAAUUGUGUAGUGUUUUCCUUCAAAGUUCAAUAUUUGAAAGAGCGCCCAGAAGUUACAGGAUUCGGAAUCAACAGAAUUCGCCAAUGCUAUAAUGCAUCCGACCGGGAAUGUUGAAAUGCCUCCUCACCAGUGUGAGUAUGCGAUGAAACUAGUGCUUUUCGGUAGUUGUUAUCGUAAAUCUCACCACAAUUGCAGGCAAGCUAACAUUACUUGUAUCCCCAUCUUGCAGAGGCACAUGAUGCUCCUCAUUGAUACAUGAACAGAGCACCUGGAGCUCAAGAGCGCUGACAUGACAACAGUGCACGCAUCAUUGCAUCAAGCUCGUCCCCUUGUUCCAAGUGCAAUUUUGUUGGUCCCCGAUCAAUGUUAAAAUCAGGUUCUGUAUGCACGUCAAACAUUUGGUAGUUCUUCAUGUCUGUGCUUCAUCCUUUCAGAAGGGAUGGUGAAUAAUUUGUCAAGUUAGAACUUAGAAGACUGAACGUGUCUAGUAUCCUAGACCACAUUGAUCCAUGUAGAUUUUUCCCCUCUCAUUUUCUUUCAGCACUGUAGGAUGUUUUGAGGCAAACUGUUGUGUAUUUAUGUUGCAAAUGUACUUUUAUUUCAGAAAUCAUAAUGUACAUGUACUUUGUGCUACUCUGAGUUGCUUACGGUCCUAUGAUACGGCGGUCGGUUUGGUCGCCUGGCUAACGAGGAACUAGUCAGGUAUAGCACCGUUUGCAAAGUAAGAAUAAACUCUAGUAUAUCGGUUAGAUGAAUGAAGCUCAAUCAAAAGUGUUGUUCAUUAGCAGCAAAGCUCAAGCAGUGAUGCAUCAACGCGGCGGCCUGGAAGAAUCAUGGUACGGCGACGACCGGCGCGCGACGGGCCGCGGCGGCAGGUCCCGGUGGCCCUUGGCCCCGGCGUCGGGCGCCUGCAUGGCCUCGACGCCCUCGAGCGCGGCGACGACGUCGGCCAUGGAUGGCCGGCUCCUGGGGUCGCCGGCCAGGCACUUGUUGGCGAGCUUGGCGGCCUGGAGCGCGGCCUUGGGCGGGUACUGUCCGCCGAGGCGCUGGUCCAUGAGGCUCGUCAGCUUCCCGCGGCCGGAGAGGUAGGGCCGGGCCCAGUCCACCAGGUUCUGCUGGUGGCCCGGCCGGUUGAGGUCGUGCGCGCGCAGCCCCGUCAGCAGCUCCAGCAGCACCACGCCGAAGCCGUACACGUCGCUCUUCACGUACAGGUGCCCCGUCGCCACGUACUCCGGCGCCGCGUAGCCGUAGGUGCCGAUCACACGCGUCGUCACGUGGGACCUCCCCGCCGACGGGCCGUUCUUCGCCAGCCCGAAGUCCGACAGCUUCGCCGUGAAGUCCUGGACACGGGAUGUGAAUGUGGUUGGCAUUAGCGUGACCUCGUCGAGUUUGCAAUGAUGCACACGGUGACUCGAGACUGAGAUGAUCAGUUGGGGUUUGUUUACCGAGUCGAGGAGGAUGUUGGACGCCUUGAAGUCCCGGUAGAUGACCUGCUUCUCCGACGAGUGCAGGAAGGCCAGCCCGCGCGCCGCGCCGAUGGCGAUCUUGAGCCUCGUGUUCCAUGCCAACGGCUCGGUCGAACCCCCUGCUCCAAGAGUUUGUAUCCAGCAAGUCAGACAGGGAUGUCAUGCAGUUUUACCAUGUGCGGUUUACUGUUGCCGACGAACAGCGGCUAUGACUUGUACAAGCCACUUGGUCAAACUUCAAAGUUCAGACCAACAUGUGAUGCAGCCAACUGCUAGGCUGGUACGCGACGAUUGCCUAUCCAAAAGUCAAAUGCACUUCUAGAAUCUAGUUAGAUGGCCAAGAUCUGAAGCAUUGUUCUUCAUAUUCAGACAAAAUUCAUGCACGGAUUUUCAAAUGUCCUAGGCUCCUAGCCAGGUUAGGCAGGUGUUUAGUGACCAGGAACGGCGUCAGAAAAGCGAACCACACCAAAUUUUUUGCUCCUAUAGCUCUGCAUUUUUGUCAAUCUUGUGGAAGUUUGGAAGGACCAGGUUUUGUGAAUCGGAAAUUUCGGAAUCGCUGAAAAGUAGAAUGCCAAUCGUAGAGGGCGGUAGGCUGCUUACUCCUGAAGAGAUGGUUUUCCAGGCUGCCUUUGGACAUGAACUCGUACACCAGGAGCAGCUCCCUGUCCUCGCCGCAGUAGCCCAGCAGCCUCACCAGGUUGGGGUGCGACAGUCUGCCCAAGAAGUUGACCUCGGACUGCACUUGCGAAACAAGAAAAAUGCACGUGAUCAAGAGACGCCACUUGGUCUUGGAUGAAUCAGCAAGCCGCCGAUGAACUCAUGACAAGUAAUCAGACAGCUCGAAUGAACAUGGAAACGAGGACUAAACAAUGCAGGUGUGCAAUCAAACAAGCAACGGGCCACGUUGACACUGCAUUAGCACAUUGAUUGCCACAGCAUGUUCUCAAACGUCAAUCAUAACAAAGAUACAUGGUAUGACAUAUGCACGCAGUGAUGGUAGGAUGGAUGGAUCAGGGAGUCCCUAUCUCAUUCUUGAGAGCUAAACCAAUGCAAGAGGAGUUGUAAAAAAAAUGAUGGCGGGGCAGGCGAAAACUAGGGCGGUUGACCUGUACAGUGUUCCACGAAGAAAGCGACGAAAAAAAAGAAAACUGAACCAGAAAUGUUUUUCAUCAAUCAAACAAAAAGACGGGGGAAAAUCAUGAUUUCAGCAUAUGAACAUCCAAAUGCAAUUUUGCAACGGAGAGAGCUUACCUGCCACUCCUGCAGGCCCUGGACGCUCUCCGGGUUGAGCUUCUUGACGGCGACGAUGACGCCGGCGCUGCUCUUGGCCGGGUUGAGCGUGCGCUCGUCGACCCAGCCCUUGUAGACCCGGCCGAAGCCGCCCUCCCCGAGCACCAUCUCCGGCUUGAACCCCUUCGUCGCCGCCCGCAGCUCCGCGAGCGUGAACUCCCUCAGCCUCGGCGCCUCGAGGACGCGCCCCGGCCCCGCACCUCCCUUCUCCUGCGUCCUGCCGCCGUCGGUCGGCUUCGGCCAUGCCGGCGGCCCUGCAAGUACACGCACACAUCGUCAGCACGAUCAGAUCGAAACCUCGUGACUGAACCGGCCGAACUAGCGGCGGCGCAGGCGAACCUUUGGUAGGACUCGGCGGUUUCGUGGCGGCGGCGGCGGCGUCUGCGGAGCCGAAGCAAUUCCCCAUGGCGAAGCAACGGAGCAAGCACGCCUUGGCUUCUUCGAUCGUGCUGGUGCGCGUGGUGGGCGAUGUGCUAGCUAGCUAGUACUAAUCCGAGAGCGGAAGGAGACGGGACGUGGACAUCGCGGUAGGAAAGGAGAGGGAGGAAGGAGAUGGCGCGAAGGGAAGGGAGGAGGAGUGCGCUAUCUAUCUGGUCUUGGGCAUGGGCUUGGUCUGCCGACCCACUCCAUCAUCACGGUUUGACGCCACUGGAUAGUGUGAACUCGCUCUUGGCAUCCAGCUCCAGGACUCGGUCCGCGCGCGCGCGCGCGCAAGCGUUUCUUGCUGGGACUGGGACUGGGACUGUGUCCAGUCCUCGCUAGAUGACGCUGUGUGCCCUUUAAUUUGCAAAAGCUGGGCCACGUCACGCACUGGCCCGCUUGCCAGUGAACGACCCUGUCGUCGCCUGAUUGGUCCAGAACUCUACUUGGAUCACUGCCAGGCAGAUGGGACGAAGGAAGGAGAAGAAGGGAUAAAAACGCCGACGACGGAACGCGGCGUCACCACUCACCACACCUUCAGGGCAGCUGCUCCUCCGUUUCCCAGGCGCGACGCUCGCGAGCUCCGCCGGCCGCCGCGCGCACUGAGCCACUGACGCGAGCUUCUCUGAAGCCGGGCAACCCCAAGAAACAGGCCGUCGCUUUCUCGGUCGGCCCAGCUCUGAACCUGCUCUGCCCUAUCGGAUCGUGGGUUCAGACUAGGAGAUUCAUGUGGGCGCUGGAUAGGCCGUUGAGUGCCUCGCUUACUCCUUGCGACAGCCAGCCAGUCACACAAAUUCUGCUUGCCGCGAGGAGAGAUCAGCACGCCUUGUUUCCACUGACAAUCCUCCUUUUCUCGGCCUGGACUCUGUCAAAAGUGACAGCCUUGGUGAAAGAAGAAAAAGUUAUCUGCUCUUGGAGAUGCUCUUAGUGCCUAACAUCACUGUCCAUCUCUUUGGGGCAUCGACUUAUCCAUUUUCAGUAAAAAAAAAUCCAUAGAAAGCGUAAACCGUCUGGAGGAGAAGACGUAAGUCAACGCCAAUCGGACACUGGAAAAAAAAAACCCUCAGCCCCAGCACCAGUGUGCUUCUGCCUUCUGGAUCGUCGACCAGGUCAAAGCAGCGAGCAACAGGCAUCGUCGUGGCGCCUCCAGUGACGUGGCCGCUCUGUGGACCAAUUCAUCAGUUUGGCCUAGGCCACGUCAACGCCAUGUACGAUUGCCCUGCACCCAUCGCCACGGCCGGAAACCACAGGCACAACGAUUUGAAUCGUUCCACGCUAGUAAACUGCAAUGCUGUGACUCUAUGAUUUAAUGUCCAAAGCAUCGAGCCCACAAUUAUCAAAUAUUCGACAUUUGACUAUAUGCUUUGACUCUACAAAUUUACCAGCAUUCAGCUCAAAAAUAUCAAAUGUCCAACAUUUGAUAGUUUUUCUGCCUCUUCAACUAACCAGCAAUUGUGAAAUACUUAUUGCAUCUACUAACCAACAUGCACCGAAGUACCAAACAAUAGGAGAACUUUGUACAUGACUGAUAACUUGAAGAACAUCCCAAAAGGGGUCUCACUGUUCCCCUUUUCUACUUGGGACUGAUGCAUUUUUGCCGCCCCACAGAGGGCACUGAUCCUAUGUACACUAGCUACAGAAUUCAAAACUGGAAACAAUAAAGCACAUGGAAAGAGCAAUAGUCAUGGUCAGCUUGAACUCCUACCAUCAGCCUCAGAGAAGAUACUAGAACUCUGUCAAGCAGGUCACUCAAGACCACUUCCUCAAUCAAAAAGGCUCUGACUAUAUGGAAUUUGACGGCUUCAAUCUCAACAAUCCUAACAGUCUCAGUCUCAUCUGACUGAGAUAUCUUGCUCUUCUUCUAGACAAGCAUGCAAUCUUGGCUAUGCAUACUGUGCCAUCCUUCUACCACCUCUCCUUCUGGAUGGCGUGCCAACGAAUUGCGGUGACCCGCUGUUCGCAGGGGAGCUCAUAGCUACCGGCGGGCGUUCAGGGGCAUAUGGCUGGCUUGCGACAUGGUUCAGGCCUAUCACAACAUCAGCGAUGAUAGGGCGAACAUGGGGCUGGUCUUGGAGGCACAUGAUGCUGAUCACAACUAACUGGUUCAGCGCUGAUGACGGGUAGCAGCCCAGCAGAGCUGGAUCAGCAAGCCGGUAGAACUUCCUCUUGUCAUGCAGAAAUGGCCUUGACUGCAAAAUUCAGAGAUGAUAAGGAACUGCAUGAAUGAAAAACUUUUGACCUUCUAUGAUCUUAAACAUUACAAGGUAAAGGUCCUUACCCAUGUUAGCAAACUCUGCUCUGGUUUAGGCCUUGACGCGUCGUAAAUCCUCCUGCCAGUUAUCAGUUCCAACAGAAGGACACCGAAGCUGUAGAUGUCCGAUUUCAUGGUAAGUUUACCACUCACAACAUAGUCAGGAGCACAGUAACCAUAGGUACCCAUAACUCUUGUGGACACAUGAGUUCUGUCACCAACAGGUCCAACUUUUGCAAGUCCAAAGUCAGAAAGCUUUGGACUGAAAUCCUCUCCAAGCAGAAUAUUAGCAGCUUUCAUAUCACGGUAAAUGACUGGUGGAUCAGCUACAUUGUGCAAGUAAGAAAGCCCUUCUGCUACUCCAACAGCUAUCCUUACACGUGUGUUCCAGUCAAGUGGUUUCUUGCCAAGAGGCACAUCUAAUCAAAGGUGAAAGAAAACCUCUGUCAAUCGAAUGAAAAACAAAAGAAAUACGUUGAACGUAAACUUGCAAUGGUACCAACGGAAAUAUUUCAUUAAAAUAUUAAAAUGAUUUGUCUGCUACAUCAAACUUUGUAGUAAACAACAGCAGCCACAAUCCUUAAGCAUAGCAACACAAACAGGGGGGCACACAAAGAUCUAAAUACUCAUACAAAAAAUACAAAAAAAGAACAUAGAACUUCAAGGGCUCACAUGAUACCCAUGCCUAGCACUGCUAUCAUCAGGAAGAACAUGUCAUGUUCAGGCAUGAGACAAGACAUGAGAACCUCAGGACUUCAAUAAUUCUUUGUGGGGACAAUUUGGCUAGCCUUAGGUAUUAUGUGGCUGAACAAUUUUGGCACAGUCUGUUAGAAUAAGGGGGUUUUCCAGGUCUCAAACUCUAAAACAAACAAUUAUUACAAACACUUUGUGUUGGUUGCAUGAUAGAAAUCAGUACAACGUUAGCACUUGCACCCUUUCACAGAAUAGGUGGUUCACUGGUUUGACUAUACAGUUAUUAAAUAACAUUGCUGAGCUUACAAAGUUUAUCUAGUUCUUCACUUAGUAAAAUAAUUAAAUGAAGCACAGUUGCUGGAGCCUAGAACUCUGACUUUGUGGCAAUACAUAGGCAAACAAUAGCAAGGAACACUAUUUUCUUGGCUCACUCCAAGAGAAAAUGCCACAGUUUUGACAGCUUGCAACAUAGACAAACAACCAGCAUUCUCAUCCAUUAGUUUUGACAGCUAGCAGACAUAUCGGUUGCUUCUAAGAAAAGGAGGUGCAAACCGCAAAGGCAUGUUGAAACAAGUGCAUUUAUAUUGUUGAAAGAUAAACAAAAAACAUAGAGUUGCAGUUCAAGUGCUAAAAUAUAUGAAUGUGAAGGAAAAUAGCUUCCUACGAAAAGUAACAUAAGGGUGUGAAGCAGUAGUUAACACAUUAAAUAGGAUCCUCAAUUUUUCUUCAUGAUCCUGGUACAAAUAAAAAACCUUAGCUUUUGAAGGAGUUGAAAAGACAUCCUGGAUUCAAAUAAAGAAGGCAAUGGAAACAAAAGAUCAGAUGGUGAAACUUCAUUACUUUUUGUUUUCCAGCGACAGGGCUAGAACAUUACUGGCAUAAAUUUGUAAUAGUAGGUUAUUUUGUGCUUACUGGCACAAUCGGUGCCUAGCUUACAUUAUAAAAUAGUAGCACGAAGGGUCAUACUUCAAAAUCACAAGAUUCUUGCCUACAACCUCCUAAAAUGUUAUUGUGAUUAUCAUACUAAUGGUGAUUUAUUCAUGUAAUAACCAGAUCAACUGGAUUAGCCAGUGUUGCCCGAGCUUUGGUAUGGUGGAUAGUUCCAUAUAGGAACUGAGUGGCAUCUGACUCAGUGCACGUAGUAAGGUGCAAGGAUGAGCUUUGGUAGGCAUGUGUAGACGUCUCCUACAUGUUAGGUGAGCUUUUGAGUGAUUUGGGGAGGAAAGGUGUUGCAAUACAUUUCAUUAUGAAACUGGUUACAUUUUGAUUAGGAUUUCAGUUAAAAAAAUAGUCUGUUCAGAGUGAACAAAAACUGAAGCAAAGAACAUACAGGCCACAGUAAUAGUAUUCCUAGUAGCAGAAAAGUUAGAACAUCAUCUGAUGAAAGCUUUUAAAGGAACAAAGGACACAAUGUCAUCCAUUUCUUGAACUGAAAAUGAAAAGGCAUACAAGGGAGUUGAUUUUAUCUUUUAUCCCAUCCAAUUUCGCAUUAGGGUGCUGCAAUCUUCAAUUAGUUGCCCCUGUUAUCUUUUCCCCUUUCUUUACUGCUUAAGAAAGCACAUUGCCCAAAUGAAGGAAUACUAGACCGUAAAAUGCUAGAGCAGCUUGUCAUCUAAAACAUGCAAGGAAUCAAAUGCAGAGAAGUAUCACAAAAGCCAAUGGAAAAAGUAGCCAACCAUUUCAAUUGACAUAAAACAUACAGACCCCCGAACAUACCAACUCCAGAAGCACACUGCAUACACUUUUUUUUUUGAGACGAACACUGCACAUUAGCUCCAGACAAGAAGCAGAAAGUUUGAUGAGAACAAGUUACCAAACAAAUGGCUCUCCAGGCUGCCGAACGGCAUGUACUCGUACACGAGCAACCUCUCGUCCCCCUGAGCGCAGAACCCGACCAAGCUGACAAGAUUGGGAUGGUUGAGCACUGUCAGCAUGAGAACUUCCACCAAGAACUCGUUCCUCCCCUGCACACCAUCUUGAGCGAGCUGCUUCACCGCCACCAUCUGCACAUCACAAAAGGAAAAGACAUUAGGAAAAAUCAAACCAUGAGCCACAAAAACUGUCAAAAAGUAGUCUUUUUUAGCUCACCUGGCCAUUGAUCUUGCCCUUGUACACCUUCCCAAAUCCACCUUCCCCUAUGAAAUUGGCCUCGUUGAAGUAGCCGGUCGCCACAAGCAGAUCCUUGAAGGUGAAGCUGUGCGCGUAGCCGUUGGCCACAUCCGGCGCCACCUUUCUCCUCGCAUCAGCCCCUGUUUCCCAGCAAAAAUCAGGCAAACAAUCCAAGCCAUGAAACCUGGCCGAACACACUGCGGAUGGAAAUCGAGCCCGGACCUGAUGAAUCAUCGGGUUUGGAGGGCUUGUGGUCCCCGUCUCCCUCGUCCGCCUCCGGUGCGAAGCACCCGAAGCAACCCAUCGGAACGGCGCAGGACGCUCUCCAAGAACUCUUGUUGCCAGAACCAGGCUGCCACUCCCAAGAACAGAACCAAGGACACGAGCGAGAGGAGAGGGGAGGGAGGGAGAGGACUAUCACAAGGAAGCGGCUAUUAAUGCACGGCCAAACCGGGCAGCAAACGAAACACGCCCAUGGGCCCCCAAGAAAAUCCCCCAAAAAGCUCCAAAUCAGGAGCUCGACUGAUCAGCAACCGGCGACGAAUUGCGGGGUUAGGCAGGGCAUCUGCAGUGAGCGAACCAUGCGCCUACAUGGAGCCAAUGGACCGAACCAAACCCAUUGGCCUCUUUCCGUCCGUGCGCCUCAGUGGAGGAUCCACGGGGCGGCGGCGGCUGCGGGAGGGCAGCGGAGGGAGAAGGAAGCGAUGCGAGUGGAGAGAGCGAGAGAGAUGAGACGACCCGGGGGGGAUUGCUGCUCUACUCUCUCGGGGAGGCAACGGCGCGGGGGAUUUGGCAAGAAAUCAUAGCAGGCGCCAUGGGAAUGGAAGCACUCGGAGGGAGGCCCCGCAUUUGACCCCUAGCCCCACGCUGAAUCGGGAGCCAAGAUUAAACGCCGAAAUCAUAGCGCGAUUCCCGAGUAAUUUCUUGCCUCUUUUGCCUCACUUCAAGAUUAUCUAUCCCCUCUGGCGGGCGGUCAAUUUCUACAGGAACGUGAAGCCUGAACCGGGUGAAGCGCUGCAGCUGGGCGGGUGGAGUCUGGCGCCGGCGGCCAUUCUCGUGCGCGGUCUGGUGUGCGGUUUUGUCCUCGUCGUUCCGAGGGUUCUUUGCUGGUUUCCCGGGGCGGCUUUUCCCGCGAGCUGGGAGAGAGAGAGAGAGAGAGAGAGAGAGGGAGAGGGAGGGAGAGGGAGGGAGAAAGUGAUUUCUUUGGCGUGUCCCGCGUGCUACGAUCGUUCCCUUCCAUCGCCAGUUUGCGCAGCGGUAGAUCUGGACUUCUGGAGACUGGAGCACAGGAUAUUUGCCAUGUAGCGCCCCUUGCUUUCAGCAGAUGCACGGCGAUGGACUGACGAAAAUGGAGUCACCAUUCGCAGCCAGCUGAACUGCCAUGUGGAAGGGAGACCACGAUUAUGUACACCAGGCCCACAUGUCAUCCCAUCCCAGUCAAUACUGGCAUUCCAUUUUUUCCCUCCUCCCGUUUCCACAAUGGAAGACGAUUGUUAAUUCAGCGUCAUUUUCUGAUUUGUUUAGUGUCACGUUCUGAUUUAUUAAACCCUUAAAUUUUCGGUCAUCGCAGCAGCAGGCUACUAUAGUGGAUGAAUCUGAAGGACAGAGAGCAGCAAGCGCCACAUCAAUGUUAUGCAUUGCUAUGCUAUACCACACACACUGUCAUCCACAGUGCAUCGUAAAUCUGGUCUGGUUUUGUUCAGAUGAACGCCGCUGAGACCUGUGUGGAGUCGACAGGGCGUCAUGCUGAAUCGUAAAUGCGUCGCAAUGUUGCAUCGAACGUGCCUUGUUCUGCAUCCUCCAAGUGCAUGCAUGUUGAGUGCUUUGAGUGAUUCUUCCUUUUUUUUGUUAAAUAUGCUGAUAUCUUCUUUUGCUUGGUGUGGAGCAACAAUGUACUAGGAACAGUUAAACGCGCUAUGCUGCUGUAUUAGUGGCAAUCAUGCGGAUGCUGAUGCAUGCGUGGUCAGAAAACUCAAUGCAGGUGUACAUCCUUGGAAAUCAGGAUUCAGGAGCAUGUGAGUGUGGAACAAUAUGCCCUUUUCCCCUAGGUUACGGAAUGAGGAAGUAUGCUCUGAUGUUUUCCUGAUCUGGGGGCAAUGGGAUGGUGGUCAAAAGCAGAAGGAAGCAGGGGCUCAAAGUGGUAAAGAGAUUUUUAUAUUAAGAAAAAGUGGUAGAGAGAGGCUAUCUUGAGGUCACUUUCAGUUGCCAAAAUGUUGGAAACUUCAGCGUACUUUCUGUUCGUUUGAAACAAAAAAAAUCCUUGAAAAUAGUGAAUCAGGCUAACGCUGUAACGCAUAUUCCUGGAACUGCAUGCUUCCUGCUGAAGCAUAACAAGAAUAAUGCCAUCGUUACCAAAUGACAGUGUGGACAGGGAGGGAAGAGAAAACUGUCGGUGCCAUCAGAGCCAGGCCUCCAUUCCUCCAAUGUGGUCUCCAGCUGCUGGCCCAUGUCAGGAAAAGUGCUCCCUGAGAUGCAUGCACUCCUGUAAUUAUCGUUGAUGGAUACUUCCUCCGUUCCGAAUUACAAAUCAUUCCAACUUUUUUAAGAGUCAAAACAUCUCAAGUUUGAUCAAAUUUAUACAAUAAAGUACUAACAUUCAUGAUAUCAAAUAGGUACCAUUAGUUUCUUCAUUAAAUAUAUUUUCAUAGUAUAUCUAUUCGGUAUCAUAAACUUUUGUGAUUUUCUCUAUAAUUUUGAUUGAUCAAACAUAAAAUGGUUUGACUCUCCAAAAAAAGUUGGAAUGGCUUAUAAUUUGGAACGGAGGAAGUACAAAACAAAAACGAUAACCAUGUAGUGUAGCUGCUUGCUCGCAAAGUACCAAACUACUUGCUAGAACAUGAGACAUAUGGGCGGUAUGGGUCAUGGGGCUACUCCUUCACUACAGACUACACAGCAUGGCUGCUGCAGUUUGGCAGGCAUCAGCAGCUGCCUGUUGUUAACCUCUGACAUAAUCCUACGAGUACUCUGCAGAAAAAUAAUGCUUGAUCAGAUCUGACUAGUAUUGGACGUACGUCCAUUUCCUCCGGGAAACAAUUAUUGGCUGAUAAAGAAAACACGGCAUGGGGAUAUAUAUGUUCCCUCGAAGAGAACCCAGCUCAUUUUCUAGUGUGUACGAGUACAAUCGGUUUCAGAAAAACUGAAACCAAAAUGGAACCAGCUUUCUGACAUAGCCCAUAGGCAUCCCAUGUACUGUACUACACUUUCCUUUCCCUUUUCCACGCAAUUGUGAAUCACCUAAUGAAAGAUGGGAUGUCGCGUCCUCCUGACCCGGCUCCCCCGGCCUCCCUGCCAGCCGGCUCCACCACUCCGGCAUCGACUGCCUCCCACCCCGCCGGCUCCGCCCCUCUAGCACCGGCGGCUACAGCCCUGCCCUCCCCCCCUCUCCCUCCCCUUCUUCCCACCCCUCCUCGCGGUCGUUCCCCUUGCCCGGCCGGCUCCGGGAAUUGGCGCCUAGAUCCGUCGCCUCCGCGGCGACCCUGCUGGUAAGCGGACCGGCGGGCCUGCCGGUUGGCGGCACAGUGGGGCUACGGUGGGCCCCUCGUCGCCACCGUGGCGUCCCCCUCGCCCUUCACGCUGCCGUCCUUCCUCCUCUUCUCCCUCCACCCUCAGUCGUCUCCCCUUCCCCUCCCUCGGUUGCUCCUCCUUCCCGCCGCCCUCCACCUCGCCCCCUCCUUCUCCCUCCCCGUCCCGACAUCCUCUUCUUUGUCGAUGUCCUCCUUGACUUCCACAUCUCCGUUGUCCGUCCUCUCUCUCCCUCCUUGCCUCUUUCUCUGCCUACCACCCUCUAGGUUGUCCAUGGCGCUGGUACUCCCAUGCUAACUCUUCCUGGGUUGCAGCCGUCCUCACCUUCCUCCUCUCUUCACCCUCGAAUCGCUUCUCCGUGACUAAUCCUCUUCCCGGUGUGUUCUCCACCGCUGUCUCCAGCCUCGAGGCCGCCACCGCCGUCCUCUACCACCCGGACUCUCCUUCGGCGGCAUCCCCCUUGCAAUCCUCCCUUCCAAGUUGGCCGUCAUUCAACGGGUAUUUUUUCAAACCGGCAUUGAUUUCCGCCUCCCAGGUGGGUUGGCCCCUUCCGGGGCCCCUUGCCUUGAGGUCUCCACCCCUUUUGCCACCCCCACUGUCUCUUCGAGGCCCACGCCUGACUCCACCUCAUCAUCACCCGCUACUCCUUCCACCUCACCUCCCUCCUGUCCCAUCAAGUUUAAUGCUCUGUGCGCGGACGUCCACCCCGCCUCUCCCUCUGGCAUGGCCGCGCCUCCCCCCUCCCGCUCCGUCGGGCUCCCUGCCUACCCCCUCUACCGUAUCCCCUGCAGGGUUGUCACACUCGCCCUGCCCCCCCCCCCGCCUGCCCUGGUCUCUCCGAUGCGACUAGGCACUGUUGCUCCUUGUGGGCGCCUCUGCGAGCUCCGAUCGUUCACUGACACCGCCCACAUGCCACCUCGGAGUCCACGCCCUGCUCCCCUUGCUACUUCCGCUGCCUCUCGCGCGAUCACUCCUUUGUUGCGUGCUGGGAUCCUAUCCAGUGUUGUGGUUGUGGGCGCUCCGACCACCGCUUCUCCCGUUGCUCGCUCUGUCCCCGCCGCUCCGCAAGCAUGUCGGGCCACCCUCUGCCCAGCUGCCACCGCACGUUGUCUUCGCCACACCCCCCACCCCCUCCUCCCGUGGACUGCCCCUCGGAUCCAUGGGGGCCUUCGGAUAUGCGGCUACCCUCCCGACAUCGCCCCCUGCGCCACCUAGGGCGGCAUCACCACCCCCACCGGUGAACCCACCACUGGAGGUCGCAGUCACGCCACCCGUCGCGAAGCCUGACGGCUCUACCCUGGAGCCGGACGGGGUUACUGCCUCCGCGAUAGCCCCUGGCUCCUCCCCGUCAGCCUCCUCGGUGUCUUCCUCGCCCGCUAUUGGCAGCGACUUCGAGCCCUUCCGUGAUGACUAGCACGACGUCUUCAUGACUCUGGUGAACUGGGCUGCACUGGGGCAUUACGCCUAUGCGUUCGUCAGUCCGGACGCUCUCGACCCUGCCUCCAUUGUCCGCCGUGCGCUCCUCCUCGGCAACAUCCCCAACGAAGAGCUCCAUCCGAUCCUCUCCUCCGCGCGCGGCACUAGGGUCGUCGUCUUCAACUCCCCUACUGUCCGUGACACCACGGUCGAUGGUGAGGACUUGCUGGUUCUCAAGUUCAUCGUCCACUUCGAGCGCCCCAACGAGACGGAGUUCGAGGGGUCCUUUAAGCAUGGUGGCUAAACCACACUGGCCCUGGAGCGCUUCCUGGUCCAGCACUAGAACCGCGUAGAUAUCCACGUUGCCAUGGGUGUAGUGGCGAACCCAACGCAUAUCUCCCAGUUCUACCUUGCCGAGAUCAACUUUACCUCCAUCAUCAUCACCGCUAGGUAUGAGAGCUUCUCCAGCAUCCCCAAUAGCCUCUACCUCAAGGUUGAUUCCGACGCAUACUCCAUCGCGCACGUCUGCUGGCUGCGCGUUGGAGCGGGGGCCCGACUCCACUGAUGGCGCCCCUAAUGUCGACCCCAGUGCGGGUGCUGGUGGCGGUGGGAGGACCUCCGUCGCUUCCCCUCCCGCCAGCUGCGCGGCUGCUCCUUUAGGCUCUUCCCCAACGAUGGUUGCCUCUAGCAUUAGCAGCUCUGCACCCCGUGUGCGCGGUGCUGCCCUUGAUGGCAUCCCGGCGCCCGACCCUGCCCAGGUCGAACCUACGGAGGCAGUGCUCACCUGCCUGGAGUUCCCACGUCUCGUGUCCAUGAAAGCACCUGUGACUGCGAGGAACGUCUACCUCCUCCUUGUUAGUCCCAUGGGGGAGCUCGCCUACUUCAAGGUCCCCCGGUUGGUCCAGCCCGUCGGUGCUGUCGAUGUCCGUGGCAUCCCCUUGGUCAACCUCAUCUCCGGCUCCGUCAACAUCAUCCACCCCGUCGCUGUCACCCCCCGUGGGCCACAGGAGCUUGGCUACCAGGCCUAUGCUACUCCUCGCAUCUGUGACGUUGCGAUUGUCUGCAGCAUUGCGCACACCAUGGGUGCUGCCUCGGCUGCCGAGGCCGUCCCGGCUAUCGCAAAGCCCUCCCCACUCAUGGCUCCUUCUCCACAAGGGUGCGCGCGCGUGCUGCACCUGCUGCCGUACCCGUCCCACUACGCCCUCCCAGAGCGUGAGUGCGGGCCCUGGAGAACCCGCUGUGCGUGACGACGCUGCCCAGGGCGGAACACCUCAAGGCUGCCCACCUGGGUGGCGCUCCUGCGCACGUUCCCUCUACUUCGGCCCCCCUCAACACCCUCGAGUUUCGCGCUCUCGGUGCAGCCUGCGAUCUCAACGCGAUGGCUAUGGCUACGCUCGAUGCUGCGUGUGCGGCGGUGUCCAUCCAAGACACAUGUUAGCGAGCGUCAACACCGCCUACUCCAGCACUGGCCACGCCUCGUUCUGCCCCCCCUAGGUUGAGCCUCUUUUGUCUAUUUUUUGCUUCUCUGUCUCUGCUCCCUCGCCUGGUGCACCGCCUGCAUGCGGUCUUACCCGGCGUGCUUUUGUAAUCAGUGUUCAUGCUGUGCCAUGAAUAGAACUCGAUGUUUUCUUAUCUGUGGCUGGAAUGUUCAUGGACUAUGGGAUACUGAUAAGUGCCAGGACGUGAAGAACAACCUUGCCAAUCACGACCUCAGUGUUCUUUGCCUCCAAGAGACCAAACUGGCGGCACCAUCUCUGUUCAAGGCCACAAUCUCUCCCCCUUCCCCUCCCCCGGGGUCUCGUUCUUCAUCACCAAGGAUGCUGCGGAUGCCUCUGGUGGCAUUCUCAUGCCCUGAAACCCGUGUGCGGCGUUGCUCUCCCACUCUCUCCAGCUGCAGUUUUCUCUAACUUGUUUCUUCUUGGUAGCGGCGGAUGCCUAGCCGUUAGCAGUCACCAACGUCUAUGCCCCUUGCGAUGUUGCGUCCCGACCCUUCUUCUUCAAUGAGCUCGCGCAGCUGGCUGCGCAAUGUACGUGUCCCUGGCUAAUCCUAGGGGACUUCAACAUCGCUAGGGCACCUGAGGACAAGAACAAUGACCGAUUCGACGUCGCUGGUGCCACGCUCUUCAACGACGCGGUCGAUGCUCUGCUACUCCAAGAGCUGCCGCUGUUGGAUUGCUGUUUCACCUGGUCUAGCCAACGCGCCAUGCCAACUCUCGUGCACCUGGACUACGCCUUCAUCAAUGUGGCGUGGGGUGCGGCUCUGUUCAACUCUAUGCUCUACUCACCGCCGUGUCCCACCUCCGACCACGUGCCGCUGCUGGUCACCACCUCAUCGACGGCUCCGGUCUCCCAGGUCUUUCGGUACGAGAAGGCCUGGGGGCUCGACCUUACCUUCCGCGACCUCGUCUACGAGGUCUGGGACUACCCCCAGAACGCGGCUUGCGAGCCAACGACUUCCCUGGUGCGCUGCCUCAAGCGGACGCGUGUGGAAUGCAAGGAAUAGGCCUGUGCAAAGGCCCAGCCCAACGACAUCGUCACGGCCUGCACCCUCCUUAUCGAGCUCACUGAUCUCCUAGAGGAGGCGCGACCACUUACUGUGUCGGAAUUCACUCUCCGGCGGCUGGUGGUGGAGCGCCUAUCCCGCGUGGUCAAGGAGCUGGCGACUUACUAGAAGCAGCGCUACACCUUUCGUCUAUGCAAGCUCGGUGAUGAUAACACCGGGUUCUACCAUGCCUCCGCUUCCGCACGUCUCCGCGGCAACAAGAUCCAAGUGCUCCAUGAUGGUGGCACCUCGGUCUACAUGCACGCGGCCAAGGAACGCGUCCUGCACGACUUCUACUCCGCCCUCCUCGGGGCAGCGGUGGAAAUUGACCUGCCUCCUCCCAUCGCCAAUCUGCUCGACCCCGUUGCCAUUCUCUCCUCUCUCGAAGCACCCUUCCUGGCCUCAGAGGUCAAGGAAGCCCUCUGGCAAAUACGCACGGCCAGCAGCCCUGGGCCGGACGGUUUCGGCCCAGCCUUGUAUAGAGCGUUUCGGCCGGUCGUUGGGGAUGCCGUCUUGAUGUUCCUGGAUGCCUUCCACUGUGGUGACGUGUUACUAGAGUGGAUCAACCAAGCUCUCAUCAUCCUCCUGUCCAAGAAGCUGGACGUCACCACUGCUAAUGGGUUCCACCCCAUGAGUCUCCAAAACUGUGCGCCGAAGCUGGCUGCCAAGGUAUUCACCAACCGGCUGCAAGGGGUUGUGCCUAGCCUCAUCUCUAACCCGCAGAUAGGCUUCGAUGAGUGAUGGCGUCGAUGGAUGAGCACGCUGCUCACGACUAGGCGUGCCGCGGUGCUCCAGAAUGUCAUAUUUGGGUCGUGGAUUCCUUGCUGCCGGGGGCUGCGGCAAGGCGACCCCCUCAGCCCGUACCUCUUCAUCAUCAUCGCUGACCUCCUCUUCCGGAUGAUCACUGCCGCCGCUGCCUCCACCAUGCUCAAGCACCCGCUAGUGGAUGACUUGGAAUGUCCUGUCAUCCAAUACAUGGAUGACACCCUCAUCCUGAUCCGCGCGGAGGAGCUUCAAGUGCGCCUGCUCAAGCUGGUCCUCGACAUGUUUGCGGCAUCCACGGGCCUCACGAUCAACUUCUCCAAGAGCACAUUUGUGCCAAUCCACGUCAAGCCUGAGCACUCUACCCUGCUCGCCGGAAUCUUGGGCUGUGCGGUUGGCUGCUUCCACCAAACUUACCUGGGCCUCCCACUCUCCAACGCCAAGCUCCCUGCAUGCGUCCUUGACAAACUGGCCAUCCCCGUCAAGAGGUGUAUCCCAAGUUGGCGCGUGCAACUCCUCACGCGUGGUGGGUGCCUGAUCUUGGCCAAUGCGGUCAUGUAUCUGAAGCCGGUGUACGCCAUGGCGGUGAUCCGCCUACCUCUGUCCACCAUCGAGUGCAUUGACAAGCCCUGCUGAGGCAUGCUCUGGAAAGGUGCUCCACGUUGCUCUGGUGGGGAUUAAUAGGUCACUUGGACGAUGACGUGCAGGCUCAAGGAGGAGGAUGGCCUCGGCAUCAUCGACAUUGAAAUUUAGAACACCUGCCUCCUGCUCAAGGCACUGGACAAGCUCGUCAUGACCACAGUAACCCUUGGGCGGACUAGGUCAAGUUCUGGUACUCACCGGAAUGCCGCUCGCCUCCAACGUCCUUAUGGAUUGUCUUCCAAGUGCUACUCCCCCUCCACAGGGUGCUCACCGGCAUGGCACUCAGGUGGGGCGACUCUACCCUCUUCUGGCACGACAACUGGUCAUCGGCCGGGACGCUCGCUGUACUCCCACUGCACAGCGCCGGACAUCACAGUGGUUGCUGCGUUUCAGACCGAGGCGCUCUCCCUCCCCAUGCGACCACGCUUGAGCACCGCUACCGCUGCGGAGCUCUCUGCCCUUUGCAGCCGCCUUGACGGGCUCCGCCUUGGGGCUUUGGCGAACCGUUGUCACCUUCUCUGGGGGCAUAAAGGCGCCUUCCGCUCCGGGGCAGUGUACCGGAUGCUCAAGCGAACCGGGUGCGGCGCGCCGCUCGCGGAGGCCAAUUGGGACAACUUCGUGCCUGUCAAGGUGAGGGUCUUCUUUUGGAUCCUGCGCCACGAGAACACUCGCACUAGGAGCUUUCUUCAUCACCAUGGCGGGCUGGGGACUGACCUUUGUCCUACUGCCCCGACUCACUGGAAGACUUGGAACACCUCUUCUUCACCUGCCCCCACGUCGCUGCCUUCUGGGCUGCGGUCAGCCUUGGGAUGCCUCCUCAAGGACUGCACGAGCUGCACGACGCUGUCCCCCUGCCCUCCGAGAAGCUCUGCCACACAACUUCUCUGCUGCUGCUAUGGGUCAUCUGGAAUAGCCGCAACCGAAUGGUGUUCGACGGGGUGAACUAGGACUGCGCCGCCAUGGUGGCUAGCCUUGCGCGGCUAUGGGCCAUCAGGGCUCCCCAGCGGCUGGACCUCAACCCCUAGAUGAUUGGCUCUCCACCAUUUUUGUGUAAUUUUCGCUUUUGAGUGAUUUGCUCCCUCCCCCUUGUGUACUCCUAACGCGCCGCGUCACCGUUGUAAACACCAUCGGGGCUUGCCCCUAGUUAAUUUGAGUUCAGGUAGGCGAUCUCCGCCCACCGUUGCCGCCUAAAAAAUAUAAUGAAAGAUGGACAAUUCAGUUCAAAAGGUCUAAAAAGUCCCCGAUUGCAAGAUUCAGAUCACUUGAAUGCUCUGGCGCAUGCAGAGGCGGACAAGUCAGCUUGACACCUGUAUACCAUACUCAGUCCUAUGUCUAUUCACAGGUAACCCAGCUGACACACAAGUGAGGUGAGUGGACACCACCAUGAUACCAGCAGUAGCAGUGAUGGCUGCAACGUGGACACAUCAUUUUGCUGCAGGGCGGGCGAGGUCAUGGUCAUCAAGUGCCCCAGCAAUCAAGCAGCCAGGGAUGGAUGGAUCAUGGCGUCGGUCAUGGGUGGGGAGCGAGGAUUUCAGCUACCGCUGCAGCUGCGCCAUGGGAUGGCGGGCAGGCGCGAGCGAGCAUGAUGGAGGGGGACGAAGGGGCAGGGCAGGCGAGGCGAGGCGGCAGUGUCCACAGUCCAAGUGUGUGCCUGCCUGCUGCUGCAGGAAAAAGCUUUUCAUUCAGCUACGGUGGUCACUGCUCAUAAUUGCCUCGGGAUUCGGGACCAGCGGCGGUACGGCCACUUCUGUCUUAAUUCGUGGUAUUAAUGGAGCCCUUUUGAGAAAGCUUCUUCUUUUUUUAAAAAAGAAAACGAAAGAAAAAUCAGAAUCGCGGGCUAAUGAUUGGCAGUGGUCACUCUGUCACUGACAGGGCAACGCAUGGUGACUGAUUAUUGCUGACUGGAUGAUGGAAUUUGUUGCGAGCGCGACCGAUCAAAAGAUCGUAUGGCCGGCCCGGAGUGCAGAUCCAUCUGGGAAGCACAUAAUUUCAUCACAAUCUGAGAGGCUCUCACUCAGUGAGAGCAAUCUAGUUCUACGGGCAUCAAGUGUUUGUCUCCCAGUUUGGUGGUGGGUGGUUGAGGGUGUAUGGUAUAUGGACAAAGGAAGUGCACAAGAAACCCUGUGAGCCCGGCUGGCUGACGCUAGCAGCUCAAGCCUCAAGAUGCAGGGCACGGAGCCUCGAAUGCGGCAGGAGAAGGAACGGAGGAUACGACAGUGGUUAGUUGCGGCACGCAGGGCGGCGGAUGCGUCAUCGUCACCUCACCUGCGUGCACGUCCGAUCCGGCGCUGAGGCGCUAGCACUACACCAUUGUAGUAGGCGCCACACCGUCACCACUCACCGCGCAUGUGGUAGAGUAUGAAAUGCUGUGUAGAAUGGGUGGUAGCGUACGACACGGAGUGGCUUCGAUAAACCGAUGGACAUCGAUCCGUCUAGCAGGCAUAGGAAGCAUUUUUCUUUGUAGCAUGGCUAGCCGACCUCUGCCCUUCAACUUUUAGUGCCCUUUUCACUCUAUAAAAAAGGUUGAUGACGCCGCCUGAAAAGGCUAAUGCCAAACAACUGCUGAGCUGAGCUGAGCAUCACAUCACUUGGUUCGAUCUCUUUGCAUAACAAAAAAUCACUUGCUUUGAUGUAUCUAUCAUGCAUGGUUCCAAUUCACAUACCAAAAGCUACACGGACAUGUCAAGCUAACCACACCUUAAUAGUUCCAAUCCUGUGUACGAAGUUGCCUGCCUGAUCGCCUCACUAAAUCACGUGCGUGAUGGAAUGAUCGGUUCUGAUUGAAUCAGACACUUGCGUGCGUGCAUGUCACUGUCACGUCACGUUCUGUACGACUGUACUGUAUCGUCCUAGGUUCCUUGACAGGAGAGGUUGGUUAGCGAGCGGUUUGCUCGUGCCAUCACGCAACAGACGGGGGUGCAGCAGCAGUGACCUGUAACCCUCACCUAACCUCGAGGCUCGAGACAAGACGACGCUGCUUGCUUCUCCGCGAAGUGCGAUGAACCACUCCACCCCAUCGCUCGGCAAUAUAAUUUUCAGCCUAGGAUUAGCGAUCACUAGGAGCAAUGUAAUCUUUCCUUUGAUCUCAAGCAACCCAUCUCGUUUCAAUCAAUCACGGCUCCACGAGGCCAGGUUUCCCGGGACGACGAUUGCCUGGGCAAACCGGCAACAAGAGCAGGGUGGUUUUGUACGGGGAAAUCGGGACAAAAGAAUAAACACUUCCUCUUUGUAAAACGUAUGAUAAAACGUUUUGGUUUUGUUCUAAUUGAUCAAGUCAUCAAUCGUCUUGCAUCUUGGAUAACAGGAGCAGAGCGUGCACGGCCGGCGUCACGUGCCGCGGUGACCGCCGGAAACAGCAACCUGGCCCUGGCGGCCUGCAGUGAAGGGAGCUGACUGGACAGUCCGGUGCAGCUGCAGUAACCCGCCACACUGAAUCCUCAUCAUCAAGCCCAUUCAUUCCAUUCCAUCUGCUCGCCACAAAGAGCGGCCGGAUCAUUUGAUCACAUUUCCUCUCCCAAGUCCCAACUCGCGUCGCGUCAUCUUUGCUUCUUCCGGUCCUUGUCUACACGCACGAAAGACGAGCCAGAACCUACGACGACGACCCUGACAGGCUCACAGAAUGACAAGGUUUCAGCGGCGCGCAGUUCUCCAAAGUUUCCUGUGACGCGGCCGGGUACGUGCGUGACAGCGUUUUCCACGGCGGAAGGCGUACGAGAUUUUGAAUGGACGAUGCAUCCUCUCGCGUCGCCGUGGUACUGGAGGGGGGCUGCAUCGUCACUGUGGGGGAGUAAUGGGACGGCCGGGGGCCGGGUGCCGGGGCAGCCCAGUAGUAAUGGGUGCCGAUGACUCACACGGCGGUCACACCCAUGUCCAUCCAUGGCUACACCACAAUGAAUAAUGGCAUGGCGUGCACGCAUGGGGAGAGCGCUGUGCUGUGCUGCCGAUCGAGUGCCCGGGCGGGACAAAAACCAAACAUGAUGGCGUUCAGGCUUUCAGUUGAGGGGAGAGCGUUCAGGUUCAGUUCAGGGCUUGGGCAUCGACGCAUUCACGCGCCCGGGCCUUCACGUGCCGCGCCCGCGCAUCAUUGGGACAGGGGUGUCGGCCUGCCAUGGCAAAUUGACAACGACGCGAAUCAUGACUGCCUCUGCCUUCAUGUGAUGCGUGUGCUGCUGCCUGUUGUUGCCCCUGCCGCUACCGAACAUGGUCUUGGCUCGGCAUCAGUCAACACUCACAGGAAUAGCACGAGAUACCACACGCAUCCUGCCAGAUUCCAGCAUUUUCCUACGCAUCCAACGAGAUUCCAGCAUUUUGACAUUUAGAGAUAUUGCGGCAAUCACCCACGUCACAUCAUCCACAGAAGGUAAUCACUGGCUUAUGCAGUAAAAAGAAUGACAUCAAAAUGCUGAAUUUGGUGGAACAGGCCAUUCAACAUACCCACGUACGGUAACAAACCUAAAAAGAACCAGAACUGUACUAGAUCAAAAAUCAAAACAACAGCAACAUGAGCAAAUGUUAUCACAGCACCAGGUCACGCCCCGGCAAGCUUUGACCGAGGGUUGCUCAUCCUAUCACAAUCAGCCACUCGUACAUUUGGAAAUGGAAUGGAUCCUCUCAAGGGGAAAAGGCACAAUUAUUCACUGCCUUUUUUGCUUGUAUACUUCCUCUUCUACUAUAAUGUUACAAAUUGGACAACAGGCACCGCCUCAUCCCAAACAUUAUCAUCUCCAAUAGGAUUAGAAUCUGUACAAACUACCCUACCCUUUUACAACAAUUCACUUGGGGUCAAAUGAUUAAAUGGAGGGCCUAGCUGCUCCGCUUCCCACAACCACCGCUCGUGUUAUUCUCUGACUGAUUCUUCCUUGCUCCUGUGCUCCACUUGUUGAGUUACGAAUGUCUGUCGGCUAUCUGAUGAUUCAGCAUUGGGCCCGGAGAAGCAGUAUUCAACUCAUGCCUGUGUCACAGAUCACAGUACUAGGGCAAACUAUGUCAAUGACUACUGCUGUGCUCAUAGCUGCAAAGCCAGAUCAGGAUGCUUUGGAUUCACUAACUUCCCCUUAGGCAGGGAACCUGAUGACUGGACACCAGCGUUCAAGCUUGGGUGAGCAGAACUAUUAUCAUUCACAAUCUUUGGAUCAUGACUUGCACCUUGCACAGGGUUGACUGUCGCCUUUCCAACAUCUCCAUUCUGUGCUGCUUUAAGACUAUCAGCAGUUAGUUGGUGGCCAUGGAUAUAGCCGUUGGCUUUACCAUUCAUUCCAGAAAACAUCCCAAGCACCUGAGCAUGUGUCAUAGGAAUGCCUGAUCCAAAUAACCCGUGUCCAGCAAAUUGACUCAUGGCGUUUGACACAGCGGAGAAGCCAUUGAUAUUAGAGUGGAUUUCUCGACUGUGGCUGUGGUGCUGCAAUGGAGGCGCUGGUCCAGUAUUAUCUAUACCACCACAUGACUUGUUAGCUCCAUUCUCAUGCUUGAUUACUUUACUGGCAAUUUCAGAGCUCUUAUCAAAGCUUGCUGAUGUAGAAGGUACUGUUUGAGUUCUAGUUAGAUGCUCCUCACCAGUAACAGCCCCAUUUGAAGACGGUCCAGACUUGUGAUGGAGGACAUCAAUCUUGGAUGGCAUGUUGGGUGGAGCAGUGGACUCAGAGGGAUUGGUGGAUGUGACAACAGGAGGCCACUGGGAGUUUUGGGGUGGCUCACCAUCUACAAUCCAUCCUGGACCAAAAUUUGUCCCAGGGGGUAGUGCCCUUCUGAUACGAUUCGCUGCUAUAUCCCAGCCAACUGGGCCCAAUUUUGCUGCGAACCGCGCCAAGCUCCUAGCAUAUGCAUGUUGCUGCUGAACCCCUACCUGGUUCACGCAAUAAGAAGGAAAAAAACAAAUAGACUAGAAAUAUUAGCAUAGCAAGUUCCAGUCAGCAUAGAUGAUUAAAGCAGUGGUUGCAAUGAUCAACUACAGUUAAGUUAGUAGGGUUUACACAAAGUCAACCUAUAACCAAAUUUGUGAAUUCUUCAAAAUAAACUGUAUCUGGUUAGGAUGUGCUUACUGGCACCAGUAGUUUCCUCUCAUCAUCAAAGGCGCCAAACAGAGAGCUAUUACGUGAGUAAUGCUGAUCAUACGUACUCCGGCGGUCGUCAUCUAAACUAGGGGGUUUCUUCCCCCACUUUGAUGAACCUAGAAGAUUUAUAUAAGUCAUGUUUGUCAAUCAGAUGUCUAGCACCGUACUGAACAUUUAUUAGUAGAAGUAAGAACUAACCUGAAUAAUCACCGAUUUUAUCUGUUCUUUUUGCACUAAAGGAACCAAACAUACUGUGAAAAGUGGAUGGAUCUUUCAAUGGGGUAGUAUUUCGAGUUCUGUCUCCAGUAGAUCUUUUUCUUAUUGUAUCAGCAUUGUCUUCAGGUUUAUUUGUUUUUACAUUGGAUAGAUCUGGUGACACAUCAUCCUCUGUCUUUGGAUUCUUUGGUGGCCUGCCUCUUCGAGCUGGUGGCUUGGGUUCUUCUUCUUCAUCGCUAGGUUGCCUCAAGUUUUCAAAAUCCUUUUUGGCAAGAGCUUCAAUAGAUCGUGCCUAAAAGAUUAUUGAAUAUUUCAGGUAAGUAGAUGGCUAGAAGAUAAUAAGGUAUCAGCAACUUGUCCACAAUGCAGAAACAUUCAAGGGAUAAGGAACUGAGCUGCCUAUAUAUGUGGAUGUAUCAGUAUAUUUUCCAUUGCAAAAGAUAUAUGGUGUCUUCUAUAAUAGUAAAGCAUGUUGUUGGAGGAGACAUGCCAAGGAAAAUAGCCAACUUGAUACACAGUUUCUAUAGAUUUAUUGGAAGAAAUCAAGUAACCCUUUAAUAUCCAAGACUUAAAAACAGUUUCCAAGUUAGUACGUCAAAAGGAAUAAACGCACUAGCAAUCACAGACAUAAACAAUUACAGUAAGAACACAAAAAGCGCACAUGGUUUUUGCAAACAUACAUGCAAAUUUGCAUGUCCCUGCAAAACUGAAAGAAAACUCAGAAACUCAGAACAAGUUUCACACUUAACAUAUAUUCUGAAGAACAAAACUACCAAAAAACAUACAUGAUCCAGAAAAUAUAGCAGUGCAUGCGACAAGGUGGUUAUAUAUAUAUAAUAUAAUAAUAAACAGUACAUGCACUAUAAAAAUUACCUGCCGGAAGUAGAUUGUGUCGGCUGAAUUGUAAGACAUAGCAUUUGACGUAAGUAGAAAUACAUCAUCCUGCACAAACAGAAAAACAUAAAAUGUCAAAAGAUCCACGUUACUGAACCACAAAUAGUACUCCAUUAUGACUUGAUUUCUACAAAGCUUGCAAUCAAAUACUUAAUCUUUGGUUUAACACAUAUAUGGAGAAAAAAUUCCAGUGUUUCUAUGGGAAAUUAAACACAUCAAUUUUAGAACACCCCAGUGCACUUGGUAUUCUCAAAACCCACAACAUGCGUGACAUCCUGCAUUUAGAAAAUGGAAUUCAACAAAGCAACAACACGCCAUUUGGUGUAACCCUAUGUCAAGGGAUGAACUUGGCAAUUACAAAGAGCAAAUGUUUCCAUAUCCGCUGAAGCCAAGAUAUCAGUACUGUAUAUAAAGUUAAGUAUAUGCAAGAAGCACAGUGCCACUUUGGAUAAGAAAAGUUCUUGAGUACUGAUACUUCUUAUUAAAGCAGCUGGUUUAUUGGCAUAGCAACUAGUUCUGGGAUUAUUAUUCAUAAGUGUCUUGGACUAAUUAUUCCAAUGAAAUUUCACUUUAGCAAGCUAGGCAUCCAGCCUAUGUUAGAACUACCCUUGAGUGAUGAAUAGAUCCAACUGAUUAUCUACGAAUGACUACUACUAUCAUCAUCAUACAGUAUAAACUAAGCUGGAGUUUGACGAAUUAAUACUGUAUUGGAUCUGGAAUAGGUCAAGAUCAUUUAGUUCAAUGGAAUUCUUUUUUUAUCUCAGAAUGGUGCAAGACAAUCAUUAUACCACAACCUAGGAAGUCUCUACAUGCCAAUCCAAAAGGUACCUUUCAUUAAGGACAUUAACUCAUAUGGUACGAGCCCAGUUUGGCCCCUGGUAAAAACAGCAACAACUACAGAAAAUUAACAUAGAGAUAUAAUGUAGCGCAUGUUACUCAAGAAUUUCUUGUCUGGUGCAGAAAGCAAACAACUGGCGUAUUCUAUUAACAAUACCAAAAAGCAGUAUCAAUUUCCUCACAAGGGAUUAAUGAAAGAUAGACACGUGAAAUAAUAUCAACUAAACACUAGUUCAUUAUACACGAGAUUAAAUUGGAAAGAACACAAGAUUGUACAAGAAAACUACAGAGACAUUGUUAAACCAGUGAAUUGGACAGCAAAAUACGGCAGUAAAGCACAGCAGAUUCUAUCAAACAUUAGUUAAAUCAAAGAUUCAAAUGAAAGCCGGCUACACAAAACAGAGACGUCAACCAAACCUACGAUAGUGGAACCAGUAAACAGUCACGCAGCAUACCUCAAACUGCUCCAAGUUAGAAUAGGAGUCAUUCAACAGCUUCUCACGGAUUGUUGAGAAAUCCAUUGGAUGCUCAAUAAUCUCAUGGUAAUCUGGAAGCUGGAGGAGGAACACACAAAAUGCCAGCAUUAGCAACAGAGUUCCCAUCUGAAAACACAACAGAACCACACCUCCAUUACUCACCUCCUCUGGGUCGACAGGCUCUGAGAAAACUCCAUAAGUAUCCUUCCUGAGAGCAGUGCAAGGUAGACAGAUAAACACACAUAACCGAAGCAAUCCUUAUUGGACGAGAAUUACAUCAGGAUGGGGCCAGGGCACUCACUUCUGGAGCCUAUCGAGGAUGAAGAGCAGCAACUUUUUGUCUGGGAGGGGCGUCCCCGUGGGCCCACCGCCAUCCAACGCAGCAAGCCCUACUCCCACAAACGCAAGAAACGUUAACCAACGAAAAAUUCAAAUCCCUGAACCACUUCAACGCUAAUGCUUUUGCUUCCCUCCAAGUCUUACCUUUCCCCGUCGCUUUCGCUGCGUCCUUCUUUCCCUCCCCCGGCUCCUCCUGCAGCAUCAAAGAACCGAAACAGCAACCAUCAGAACAGAAAUCCACCACAACAAACACAUUCAUGCAUGACGAUUUCGCUUCAAAGCGUCACUAUCCCGUCAUGUAGUGGGAAUUGCAGCAAAAAUCAAGUGUUGCAGCAAGCUCCGCACUGAAAGCGACGACUUUUUUCUGCCUCUCGCAGUCCGGACAGUGCUUACAACCCAUCAAUAGGAGAAAAAGGAGGUCAAAUGCGUCAAGGCUUGUCAGAUCCGCUUACUGUUCCCUUCAAAGGAAAGGAUUAAAGCGCUGACGAGGGUCAAGAUCCCUAGACUGGCCGGACUCCAGAGGCCCCAAAAAGAAUUCCAAACCCGCCCAAAAAAGCAACGCCCUCCAAGAAGCAAAAAUCCCCAACCGCCACUAUCAGAGCUCCACUGAUCCCCGCUAGAUUCCCCACCACGGAGGCGAGCCGUACCACAAAACACCCCCCCCCCCCCAAAAAAAAUCCCGAGCCCGCAGAUCCAACCACUACGGCUCCGCAUCGCCGCGUGUCCCGCGGGCAAAACCCCCUCGGGGAGGUCCCCAAACCCCGGAAUUUUCGAAAAAUUGGCGCGAGAGAGGGAGGCCCCCGACCUUGACGACGCCGGAGAGGACGCUCUUGAGGCGCUUCUGCCGCCGCCGCCCGCUCCCGGCCCCGUCCUCAUCGUCGUCGGAGGGGUUGGGGUCCCUGCGGGAGGGUGAGGGGGCGGGGCUAGGGUUUUGGGCCUGGAGGCGGAGGCUGCGGCGCUGGAGGUCGAGGAGGGAGGGGCGGCCCUUCUUCUUGCGCCGCCGCUGCGGGGAUGGCGUCUCUGCGGGGGGCGGCGGGGGCGGGGGCGGGGGCGGUGGUGGGGGAGGGGGCUUGCGGGUCUUCGCCAUCGGAGUCCGGCAGGCCCGCGACGGCGGCGACGGCAGCGGCGGCGGCGGCGCGGCGAGGCGCGGGCGGGGGGGAGGAGGUGGUGGUGGUGUGAUGGCCUGGGAACGGGUCGGGGUGCGUGUGGCUUUGCGUGCGUUUGGUAUUUUUUUCCUGGGGCCUUUCGGUUUGCGUCGGGCGGCUCGGCUCUUGCGGGGCCCGCCGUUUCCUGACCUGUGGGGCGGAGCUGUGUGUGGCCCCAUAUGUCAGCGAGACGGGAUAAAGGUAUCCGUGUUAUUGGGUUCGGAUCGGCCGGCCGCGGGAGCGUUUGGUGGGGGUGGGACCGGGCUCGUGUGUGUCGUGGGCGGAUCCGAUUGGUGGGUGCCCCCCAGGUCGUGUGGGUGGUUGUUUUCUAGUUGGAAUAGGAGGCCGUGUGACCCACCUGCCAGUCACAUAGGAGUUCCCUUCGGUUGUGUUUCCCGCAAUUCUUACAUCGAAUCACUGUAUCGGACCUUCCAAAAAAAAAAACUGUACCCUACCGUUUUGAAAAGGCUAAUCGAUCUUUUGAGCCAAGUAAUAUUUUUACGUGAUCUGUGGAUAAAUUGUCAACUUAUGAGGAACAUGGGAUGCAAGGACAUGUUGUAGCACAAUAAUAAGUGACACGAUAAAGCACAAACAUCCUUUGUAUAGUGUUUACUGUUUAGCAUGGAGGAGGCGGGCUCAUUUUCCUUUUUUCUGAGAGGGAGGAGGUUACAUGCAUGUUUUGUAGGCUGAGAAAUCGCCAUAGAAUGUCAUGGCAUGAAUUCUGAAAAAAAAAAAGGGUCCUCACAUCAAGCAAUCAAGAGCGGUGACCCAAGUUUGAGGCCCGUGUGGAUUGACAGAUCCCCAAUCAAUCAGGAGAUAAUGGCGUAUCCAGCUCGUUGUAGUCCUCCAUUACCAUAGGAUGCAUCAUGCAAGGAUAUUGCAGCCAUGCCCGUUUCAGGGUGACCUAUUUCUCACGGACAGAAGGUUCAACAUUUUCUUGACAGAAUAUUCCCUAGGUCCGCAUCAAGAUAAUCAAUAAUAAAUUUAUAGAGAAAAAAUAACACCAAUAACAGUAAUAGAGUUUGGGCUCAGCUUGUUUACAUCGGCUCAAGCCCAGUGGAGAAUCGAGCCCAUCAAGCCCACGUGAACAACUUGCGCCUUCACGCUAUGGUCACGUAAAGCAAUGAACACGGCUAUGGUUUCCGUCUCUUGCUGUGCGUAGGAUCACAGAACUCGAAAGCGCGGCGCCUCCCGCCUCGCCGCUCGCUCCCGCCGCCGCCUGCCUCACCGGUCCCAUGGCCGGCGCGCCGUCGAGGUGCCUCUUCGUCACUGGCCCGCCGGUAAGCCCCUAACCUCUCACAGAACCCUCCUCCCUCUCUCCCCAACAGCUACCUCACGGCCUGGGUGGUGCUCGCAGGGCGUGGGGAAGACGACGUUGGUCAUGCGGGUGUUCGAAGCCCUCAGGGCCUCCCACCCGAACCUCACCAUUCGCGGCUUCUAUACCCGUACUGCGUUACCUAGCCCUCUAGAACUUCGAUUCGUUCCUCUGCGCAGUUGGCGACCAGAAAUUUCACCAGUUUUUGUGUGUCAUCUGUUUGCAGGGGAGGUGAGGGAGAGUGGGGAAAGGGUAGGGUUCGAGGUUGUCACGCUCGAUGGCCGAAGUGGACCGCUCGCCUCAUCCAAGGUUUCCAGGUGGGGUUCACCUUGCUAUUACGCUUCUUCUGGUUUCAUUUGUUUAUAGGUACUGUGCAUUUGGGUAAUUGGGAUUUUGUAAUGUGUCGGUGCUAUGGAAAUUAUCUGAUACUAUGGAUUAGUAGUCUAAUUGUUCAAGCCGUCAAUAAUGACUGUCGACAAGAAAUAUUGCAUUGUUGUGGAUCUAUACAAAUAGCCCAACAUCUAGUGUGAGAUUGCUUCCCUGCAAUUCUAGUUACACUGCUCAAUUCUAAUUGAAAGUCCCUUCCCAACGUGCCAGCAAGAAGUAAUGGCCAUGCUUGGAUGACCUAAACCCAUCUUUGGUGAUGAUUGGAAAAUGGUUCAUCUUCUCUAUUACGCAGAUUUUCAAGCCACCUGUACUAGUCUGUGGCUCUGUGCUCAUGUGUAACACUAUAUGUCCCUUUUGGUUAAAAACACACACUCCAUCUGCCCAUAGACUUUCCAUCGUUGGAUGAACUUGAGUUUUCCAGUUCCUGUUGUCAUACUUCCAUCCUGCACGUACCAGUUAGACCUAUUGUUGCAUCUUUGCCCCUCUACUAAUAUUUAACUAUCACAUCACUGCAUGGCUGCCAUUGCUUAUUUUCGCAAUACUGCUUUGAUGUAUGUCUGGUAUUUUGUUAACCUAGAUGUGUUCACACAUACCAUCAUAUUUUUUUGGUCUUUUGAAGCCUCACCCAGAGGUUUCCAGGUCAGGCUCACCUUGCUAUUAUGUCUGUUCUGAUUUCAUUUGCUUAGCACCAUGCAUUUGGGUAACUGAAAUUAUUAAAUGCAUCACUACUGUGGAAGUUAUCUGAUACUACGGAGCAGUAGACUAAUUGUGCAAGCCUUCAAGAUCAGGUACUACUACUGUACUGCAUUGCUCUGCAUUCAAGCAAAUAGAUGAACAUCUUGAGAUUGCUUACCUGCAAUUAUAGUUGCAAUUUAGCGCUCAAUUUUAAAUGAAGGACCCUUUCUAGUGCACCGUUGCCAAGUGAUGGCCUUGCUCGAAUGACUUAAAUCUGUCUUUGUUGAUGAUUGGAGAAUGGUGCAUCUUGUCUAAUACACAGUUCGCCUGGCUAAUUAUGCUGGUUUGUGCUCAUGUAUAACACUAUAUGUCACAUAAUUUUCCAUUGUUGAAUGAACUUUGAAUUUGUCAGUUCCUGUUGUGACAGUUUAAUGUGUCAGUUACCUCUUUGCCCAUGUAAUAAUUUUGAACCAUCACGGUGCUGCACAUCUGCCAUUACUUAUUUCCUCAAAUACCACUUUGAUGUAUGGGUGCUGAAUUCUUUUAUCUUAGAUAUGUAAAAACAAACCAUCAAAGUCUUGGUUAUUUUUGCAGCCCAGAGUCUGUUCGAUGGCCUACUGUUGGGAAAUACAAAGUAGAUGUAGCAUCUUUGGAAUCGCUAGCAUUACCUGAGCUGCAGGUAAGCAAUUCUGAGUUAUGAAAUCUCAAGGGUCUCAUUCAUGUGUUGUUGUUAGCUUAUGCAUGAUAAAGUUUUGGAAGUUUGUUGUUGAUUGAUUAUGAUGCAAAAGGUAAUUUACUAAAUAUUUCUUGUUGAAAUAUCAGGUCAAGGAAGACACAGAUCUCUUCAUCAUUGAUGAAGUGGGUAAGAUGGAGUUGUUCAGUUCAGCAUUUUUCCCUGCUGUAAUGAGAGUUGUUGAAUCCAAUAUACCAGUGUUGGCCACCAUACCGAUUCCUAGAAAUGGCCAAGACAUUCCAGGAGGUACCAUGUUAUCCUGUUUCGCAACUUUGCAGAGGCUACUGAUUGAUAUUAUUGCUAUGCCGUACAAAAUAUUGCAGUAAAUACCAUUUCCUUGGUUGACAAGCCAAUUCAUUAAUGUAUUUGAGGAAGCUGUGUUCAUGUACAUGUUUAAAGCUUGCUAGCUAUGCUAUGUUAUGCAUUCAAUAAAUUAAUUGAUAUGUCAUACUGAAAUACUAUCCCAGUUUUUUCUUCAAAGUUAGUUGCAAGUCCUGAUUCUGACCAUGGUUUGCCCCUGGAGUUCUCAUUGAAUAUUUUUCCUGUAAAAUGCAGUUGCUAGGUUGCGGAAUCAUCCUGGAGCUGCUAUUUUCACCUUAAAUACUGGUAACAGGGAUACGAUGAGAGAAACUAUCUACAAUCAGUUAAGCAGUUUGUUGCAGAAGAGGUGAUUUGCUAACCACCCUAUGUGCCCUCAUUUUGUUAGUCUGACAUAAGGCAUAAAAAAAGUUUUCUUCUAUGCAAAAUCUAAAGUAGAAGUUUUCUUUCAGUACUUGUUCCAUAUAGCCUAUGAUAGAACGUAUGGUCAAGUCUUAUGGUGUUGUACCUGAAAUACCUUUUUCCAAGUUUACCGACCAAUGAGAAGACAGUCAGAUUACUAUGUUGUUGCGCUUUACUGGUCAAAUCUGAAUGUACAAGAAGCAUGUUGUUCAGUUUUUCUUAGUUCUGUGUGUGGUUAUUUAAUCAUGUAUUCACAUUCACCUAGUCAAGGUUUUAUCAUCACAACAGCUCUCUCUUGUCUGGAUGCAUUUAGCAUGUAGUGACUUCUACAACAAGUAUCACAUACUUUGCGCUACUAAUUUGCUAAUGUGCCUGCCUGCAUAUUUUGGGCCCAUGAUGACUCCAGCUUGGUUUGGCAGCCCCAUUCUAACUUAAUUAUUGCUGUAGUUCUUACCCUCAUUUUGUCUUUUAAAGAUGACCAAUUAGCUGAAAUUUGCCGUAGUUCUUACCCUCAUCUUGUCUAUGAGAGAUGACCAAGUAGCCGAAAUGGCAAUCAAGUUGGAUAGUAAUAAUGAUUGAGGCUUUAGACAUUUUUAACCAACACUUGUGAGUUGUGACGUUUCCUUGUUAGAGUGUAUGUUCACCAAUGCUAACUGUUACUGAACUAUGACUUGUGAUAGGUAGUUUAGUGCAAAUGAUACAUGUAAUCUUAUGGGUCACGGCGCAUUUGAUUCUCUUGAGGAUGUCUAACCCAUAAUAAAUUCCUGAAGUGUUAAAUGAUGAUGAAUGAAGAUCAAAUUUCUGUAUCAGUAGGCAGCUAUGCACAAUGAUGAAACCUAUCAAUAAAAGCGAGUUGGAAAUUGAAUAGACUUCUUGAUGUCAUGAUACAAUGCACAAAAGAACCACUGCAUAGGUGUGAUUUGGCUGACAAAGGAGGUUUUCUCAAUCCCCUCUCCGUUUCUUCCAGCAUUUUGGACCACUGCUGCUAAGACACCUCAUAAUGGAGUAGGGCAUAUCCUAGAAGCAAGCAGCGACUUCACAUGACACAUGUUCCUAUGGGGGACUCUUGAUCUGAAUGAUCGCAGGGAAUUUUCACCCAAAGAGGCACAAUCUUUUGAUUGAGGUGGGCACAGAAUUAAAGCGUGGUGUACUGAUCAUGACACCCCUUUACAACCCACCGAGCCCCAUGCCCCCUUUGAGCCCGUCCGGGAAGAUGCCAUUAAACGCCAACGCUGUGAGUUUUGGUAACCUUAGAAAAUGGCAAGUGAGGCCAGGACCAUCUGAGCAGAGUUUUCAGUUUUAAGAACUGAAAGCUCCUUUAAACUUGUUGACAAUGUUUAGUUGAAGGCAGAAAGUGCAAGGCAAUCUCUCAGGAGAUACGAUACUCUGUUUUUGUCUAAAUAUAUUAAUGCUUAGGCGUGCACAAUAUAUAAAUGCAGACUUUUAGCUGCAGAUUAUCCUGUUUGUAAGCUGGAGCUGGAACCAGUGAAGAACUUCAAGGAAAUACACAUGCAGAUUUGUUGAUCCUCUACUUCAUAACUGGAAACCUGUUCUUUUGUGUUCGUAGCCCUUGAAAUGAUUCUUGAUAGAGACAUAGAGUGACUAGUCAUUUGAGAGGGAAAAGAAAACAGUUGUCGAGUGACAAGACCACAAGACUCAUAAACAGUUGCUCAUUUUCGUGUUUGGUCUGAAACGUUCAUACUGUUGAGCUUCCGAGGAAAUCUCGGGCUUUCUGAGAGGACAGCCUUGCUGGCUUGCCGAUGACCUCAGUGCCCUUGCCUCGCUUUAGGCAGUGCCAGUGUGGGGUGUGGAACUGAAAUUGCUGAAUGGUAUUGAUUCGGUGGCAGCCCCACCAUGUGAUCUCUUCAUGCCGGAGGGGCCUCUGGUUAACUUGUUUAAUCCUGGAUGCAUAAUUUUCCCUCCUCCAAUGCAAGUUUAGUUUAGCGCUGAGCCGCCGAGGAAUGAUGGCCGUGCAUGAACGCAUGCCAGUUGAUAUCACUUGCCGGAUUUAAGAACGGAAAGAGGCAUUGAUCCUCCUACCGAAAGCUUGCGCCGUGCCCCGUGCACUUUUAUGCUUCCACAGGAAUGAUGUUCGGUUGGUGUCCCGGAGAACUCCAACAUCAGGCAUGCUCGAUGCUUUUACCUUACCAUGAGUAAUUGGUGCCUCCCUCAUUGCAUGGUAUACGCACUGCAUGUUCGGUGGCGUAUCCCUGUGGUUCUUCACACGCCGUUUCAUAGUUCAGUUUCUUUUUGGGUACCGGUACGCCAUACUGGACGGAGGGAGCACUGGGGCCAGCCGGUAAGGAAUAUGCAUAAGUCCGUCAGGCACCGGUUGCAGUUGGCAGUUUGGUGAGACGACAUGCGCAGAGACAUGGCGUUACGAACCAAUAAUACAGUGGCCAUCUGAUCUGGGGCUCUCGUUCGCGAUGUCGCCUGUCAUCUCUUCUGAAUUCUGAUAGCUAGCGGCAACUAACCAGCCCUCCCCGGCCAAGCCAACGAGAAGCCAGCCGCGCCGCACGACACGGGGAAAAAACAAGCGGCGGCAGGCCGCAGCAGUUGUUGGCCGGGGUCAAGGCGCAUGUGCGUGUGCGUGCGUGCAGGACGUCAUCAACAUUCCAUCCCCGAUCACGCCCAGAUCCCACACACACAUCACGCGUCGCUCUCGGCGCCCCGCGCGACACCGCCCCGGCAAUCCUUACGGGCCGGGCGUACCCCCGCCAUUGAUGUGCCGUGCCCGCCGCCCAGAAAACACACCCGGUCCCGGAGCCAUUUGGGGUGUUCCUCCUGGAAAUAUACAUACACGCGCGAGUUGCAUCAUCAAUAAUGGGGUUAUUAUGUAGACGUAGUCGUUAAGUCGUGUACAUGCAUGCUUGUUCUUGUUUAGUAUAAUUUGUGCAGCAGCUGCUGAUGAUUGAUGGAGCCGGCAUAGAUAUAUGAAUUUUUUUUUGAACCAGAAUUUUUCAAAGCCAUGCAAAAAAAAAUUGAAAUGUUCGUAGACCUCACAGAUUUUCUGUUCAAAACCUCUUUUGUUGUGCUGUUAAGUUAAGCCUAGAGAACAGGUGCUAAACUAGCCAGGACUGAGCCAGCCAUACCGCUUAAGUACACCAUUAUCUAUUGCAAAUGUAAUCCGCACACAUUUAAUAUAUUUUUUUUAAAGAAAAAAAAAGAGGAUGAGACAGCAGCUUCGGCAUUUCAUCAGCACUGGUUUCAGUUGGAUAGGAUUGUUCUGGUACAGUUGGGGUGCAUCAAGUGAUUCUCCUGUGUAAUAAUACUACAAAAGAAACUACUACUUAACGAGGGAACAUCUCAUCCGAUUCGCACAUGAUGGUGACCAACACAGGUUGCGACUGCGAUCCGUGCCCCCGGAACGGCCGGUUAUCAGGAACGGCGCCAAAUGGAGCUGCCCCCGUGCGUUCGAGAGCAGGAAAAGAUCAACCGAAGCGUGUGGCGCACCAACUAGAGUCCUCGCACAACCGAGCUGUCCCCAGCCUAAAAUACUAUCAAGAGCCCUCUCUGUCUCUCUGGCCUCAUUUACCUGGCUCCUGCUACAGAAUCUUCCUCACUGGAUGGGCCUCAUUUACCUGGCUGCUCCUUCCCUGCAAAACCUUUCUCGUUUUAACCUCUCCUCUCCUGAUAGUAAAGCAGUUAAUUCUUCACCAACCGUCCAGCCCAGAAGGGAGUCAAAGUCAAGUAGUCAACCACUGGACAGUUCAUCAUCUUUUCAUUUUUUACCAUAACGGUAACAACUUAACGAUGGCCAAUGAGAAAUGUUUCAUCAUACUACAUUGUUACAUGUACAUGCAUGCUGGCUAAUCUGUUGAAAACUACUCUAGUUGCAACAAAUGCAGUACAUGAUUUGAUCACAGCCUAAUCCAGUGGCAACAGAGGGCCAAAGAUGGCGCGAGUGGAAGUAAUAAAGGGCAAUGGUGGGUGAGGUGAGGGCCUGAGCCUGAGGGGGGAAAGGCGGAAGAAGCUUUCGCUUUCCCGGCUGUUGCUUUCCUUCCGCCCUCUCUUCUCUACAUGGGCUGUAGUAAUUAUUAUUCCUGAGUGCCACCAUAAGCGCGCAUCAACAAACAAGAGCCUCGACCUCCCGCGGCGUACCUCUCCUCUCCAUCUCUCUUCUCGCCUCCCGCGGCGCCCGGGUUCCCACGGCUGGAGGAGCUGCGGCGAGGCCUCUGCCUGUGCACGCGACGGCCGGCGGCUGGUCGUCGGAGCCGCGUGCCGACUGCGGAGAGGAGGCGACGUCAGGACGAGAUCCUUGGAUGUAUGGCUCUUGUCUUCCUUUCUCCGUUCAUUCGCGUCUGCGGUCUGCGUGCAGAUUGAUUUGAUUUCUUGGGUUGGUUAUCAUUUUCUGGUUCUUGGAGGAAAUGCUGUUUCUUCUUCUUCUUCUUCUUCUUCUUCUUUUCUUCUUCUUCUUCUCCGUUGUGAUCUGGUUGCACGUGGGUGGGGUUCAGCUUCCCAUUCUGUUGACGACUUGGCAUUUCUGUUCAUGUGCUGGUGUGCUUGGCCUUGGAUGAUUCUUUCGAAAUGAAUUCAACAGAGUUUUGUUCAUACGACCCUGCUCCGCUUCCUUUUUCUUAUGAUCUCUUUUAAUUCGUGGCGAUUAGAAAUAUGUCUCCCUUCUCUUAUCAAAAUGCCAAUCGAUUCCAGUUGCUGUGACAGUGAUAUUCAGCAUCCUGCGCGUGCCUGAAUUUGCUCUGGCCUUGUGUAUCAGGUUGAUUUCAUUAGCAGGAAAUGAUUUUUUUUAAAACUGACGAGCAAUCCUGUGGUGUUUCGGUUGUGACAUGCUUUCUGCAGAAUCUGACAUGAUAUCCUGCACUUCUUUCUGCAGGAUAAGAAAGUCAAUCUCCUUCGUCCUGCAGAGACUCUGAUAUCGCCAUCGAAGCACCGCUGGAUCUCCCUGGCUGGCACCAUCAUGCUGCAGUACCUGGACUUCUCUCAUGCCAGCACCUCAAGGAAGUGGGGGCACAAGAGACAGGGCGAUGGUAUGGCGAUGCAUGCUGAUCCAUUUCUCUCUGUCCACCAUCCUACAACACAAAAAAUUGACCUGAAUUUCUGAAUCCUUGAUGGAUGCUAACAUAACCGAAGGAUGGAAUAAAUUGAUCAAGAGGGGGGUUUUUUCCUGAUAUUUCUCGGCUUUUUGAUGACUGAAUUGGGAACUCAUUGGUAUAUGCCAUAUCCAUGCUUCCAGGAUUUGAAGCUCCAAGAAACAGCAUGGAGUUCGCCUUGGAGGCUUCCCACAGCUACGGCGUUUUCCAAGAGGAUGUCCCGGUGAGUCUUCCUUGUACCAGUACUGCUCUGUCAGAGUAAUUCCUUCAAUCUUCUGUUCCCCACAAGUAGGCACUGUUCUGUUUCAGAAAAGAACAUGUCUUGUUCCUCUGACGCAUAGUUCGUUGUGUGCGUGAAAAAACUUUGAUCGUUCUUGGGCGAUGACUGGUAACUUUGUUGCUAGCUCCAAUCUGUACUUGCAACUGACUGUAGUUACCUGACACGACAUAACAGAAACUGCAUUAAUAAUGUCAAGUGGUAGACCUUCAUCUGCUGUUUCUUUAGACGUGGCCCCCAUCUUCUUCCAUCUACUGUUGCUGCAUCUACUGACUAGUCUUUGCCUCAUUGUCAUCUUUCCAUUCAAUGAGCAAACUUUUCAUUAGGCACAUCAAGUAUUUUUCUUCUUUUAGAUGAAGCAACGUCCAGUUACUAUUUGGAAAGUUUGUAUUAUUUUUUAUUGUGCAAAAGGUGACGAACAAGAAACUACGAUGAUCUUAUUGAGUUUCUUGUGAAUUUAACAGUAUUCCUGCAAUAUGAGGCAGUAUCCAAAAUCCGGGCCCAGCCACAGCUCUACCCCAAUCAAGAAGCUGAUCCAUGAGGACAUUUCCUUCAGAACAAAUGAAGGCCAGAAGAGGCCCAGCGUCAUCGCCAGACUGAUGGGCAUGGAUUCACCUCCACUGAACACAAGCACUGAAUCCAUCAGCCGUUCAGAAGAAAGAAGAUCAGUGCCAAGAAGCAGAGAUCCUUCUGAAAUGAUCUCAACCAAGCAUGUCUCCUUCGUGCCACACAAUAAGGACUCCAUCAAGCAUGCACCAAAGCAAGAAAUCCGAGCCUACGACGACGAGAGGGAUGUGUUUGGGCAUCCUAGCAAGAGGAACAAUGAGUGGAGUAAGCCGCAGCCGCGAGAGCACCCGCAAGAGGAGGAGCUGCAGAAGUUCAAGAAGGAGUUCGAGGCAUGGCAGGCGAGCAGAGCAUGGGAGCAAUCAAGAAGUUUUGAACUGGAGAGCAACCUCGAUGACGACGACGAUGACAAGUGCACGGAUAUCGUGCCGUACAGGCACCAGCACCACAAAGGGAAAGAUGCUAGCAGUGGCAACAAGUACAUUCACUCCAAUGACGAUGUGCAUCGGAGAAGAAGCAAGGAGAGCAGCACAUCAAUUUCCGGCAGCCGUACGUUCUCUCUGGCGAGCGCAGACGCGUGUUCCACGAGGCUGCCACUCUCCAGGUUCUACCACGAGGAGGAGAGGUCGUUGUCGCCGACGAGGAUCGUCGUCCUGAAGCCCUGCCCGGAGCUGAGCAUGGACGACAUCGAGGAGUCGUCGCUGGGGUCGCCGGAGCUGGUGAAGAAGGAGAACAACAUGGAGGCCUUCCUCGAGGAGGUGAAGAAGAGGCUAAAGAUUGAGCUCGAGGGGAGCAUGGCCUCCGACGACAAGGCGAACCGGUGGGCCGUCGGCGACAUCCCGGCCGACCCGAAGAAGAUCGCUCGGAACAUCGCAAACCAGAUCAGGGAGAACGUCACGAGGGACUUGCACCCGGCGCUGGUGCGGUCGGAGUCGACACGAUCAUACCGCAGCGAUGUGCCAUUCAAUGGCCAGAACCAGAUGGAUUACAUCGGCAGAGAUGCCAGGAGGCAGCUCUCUGACAGGCUGAAGAACGUGCUGCGAAGGGAGCCGGACGCCGAGCCGCCGUUCUCUCACCGGAGAAGGGCCGCCUCGACGUCGUUCGACGAGGAGCCGAGGCCCAAGCCAAGGCACGACAUGGCAUCAAGGAAGGGGAAGAUCAGGAGGAAGGAGGAGAAGAAGUGCGCGAUCGAGUCCGACGUCAGGUCCUUCAGAUACGGAUCAUCAAACAAGACACCAACGACCCAAUUGGACUCGGAGCCGGUAUCGCCGAGAAACCUCAUGAGGUCGUUCUCGGCGCCGGUGUCCGGGACGACCUUCGUGAAGCUCCUCUCGGAGGAGCCCCGGGUGCUGACCGGCGCACGGCUGCAGCGCAAGCAGGAAGGCUACGGGAGCAGGCCGUCGUCGUCAGAGGAGAGGAAAGGGAGGAAGGACGCUUUCGGCAUCAAAGGCAAGGUGUCCAACUUGAGGCAGAACCUGGGGCUCAGAGCCAAGCUGUUCGGCAAGAAGUUCCACGCCACCGACGAGUCGUCGUUCCCGGACGACCUCCCUCCGAUCGGCACGCUGGUCACCGCACCUUCGGUUCUCAUACACCCCGGCGUUCUCCAGGUGAGGCAACUCCACCAAGGUUGAUGGUUUUUCUUUUCAGAGCCAUUGCAAUCUGACAUGAGACUGAUGCUUCUUUGGUUGCAUGCAGGAGAACUCAACCGAGGUGCCGCCGAGCCCGGCGUCGUGGUGCAGCAGCCCGCCUGACGAGAUGAGCAGGGGAGGCUACCCGAGUCCUGUCUCGCCGUUGGAGGCCGCCUUCAGCGGGCACCGAUCGCCCUUGAGGACGGCAACAAAGGACAUGAUCUCAAGUGGUUGUGGUGAGUACCAAGCAUCCAGUGAUGCUACACUGAAUACAUUCUUCAGUGAUUAUGUUUGCCAUGAGUUCUGAUCAAAGAACCUCUCGCAGAACCAGGAAUCUUGUCAGAACAAUUUCAGACGACUGAAGAACGAGCUGAGACAAGUCCUGUCCUGGACGACCAGGACGACGACAUGGACGAGUUGGAUCACCCUAUCAAAUCCUUCAUCAGAGACGUUCUCGUUGUCGCCGGCAUGUACAGAUCGAGGCAGAAUCCCGUCAACUUGUUAUCAGACUGCGAAGCUAAGCCGAUCCCCAAGCGGGUGUUGGAGGAAGUCGAGUCCUCGUCCUCAACCGUGGCAGCUUCAUCCAAUGUCGGUGCGGCAGCCAUCGACCACCGGCUCCUCUUCGACCUGAUCAACGAGGCGCUCCCAGGAGCUGUCCGGUCCUCGACGACGCUCUGCACAUUCGACAAGUUCUAUGCCGCAGCACCAAGAAGAGCCCCCGGCGGCAAGAAGCUUCUAGAGGCACUGUGGAAGUCCGUGCAGGUGUGGCUAGAACCUCCAAGCCAUAGUAAGACGUCGAGCUCUGCCUCCGUGGACGUGCUGAUCGGCCGUGACCUGAGCAUGUCAGCGUGGCAUGGUGCGUUCCGUGACGACGCCGACGCGUUCGGAGAAGAGGUGGAGGCGGAGAUACUGGACGAGCUGGUUGAUGAGAUGGUGUGGGACGUGCUCCUCAACGUGGGGGACUGAUGAUUCGUAGGUCUCUUCUGACGAGUAUACUUGUACAUUUUAGGGUGCCUUUUUUUUUUACCUCUUCUGAGUGCUUGCUGGAAUUGCGAUCGUGUGUUAGGUGAGUGAAAAAUGUAACUAUGUUUGCGCGUGGAGAAUUCUAAAUUUACACUAAGAAAUGCAUAAAGAAGCAAAAAUAGAGUGGAUUUAGAAAAAGGAAUGCGAGCUUUUUAUUAUUUUUGGUGCAGUUUUUGCACCAAGUCUUGCCUACCGUGUCAGAUUUUCCUAGGAAAAAUAGCUGUAUAUUUCGACGGUAUUCUUUUCAUUUAGGGAAAAAAACUUGAAAUUCAAGAAAUUUUAUUUGAGCCCCAAUUUUACGCCUGUUAAAGUGAGCCCCUUCAAUAUUUUCCUCUAAAUGCUGUAAUCGACAAAGGCUUGCACAUAGAGUGGUAAACAGAGAGUCUGUGAACAUGAGUUUUCUUGCUGCUGAAGAGUUAAACUUUUAAGUUUGUCAAACAGAAGGAAUAAGAUUAGUGACAAUCGGACAAGCAUCACGCAGUACCAAAUCCAUUUGCUGAACACCGAGUACCUAGCUAGCCCUUUCUGUUCGUAUUCGGGCGAGCUUGUGCAAAGACAAUAUAGUCCAUUCGGCCGCGCCCUUCCAAACAACAUUAUAGGUUGGCUGUGAUUCUGCUUUUGGUGUUUUAUAUCUUUACUUGCUCUUGGUCUAUGAUUCCUUCCACCAUUGAGGGACUUGCAACAAAAUUGUCUCAACUAUAAAAAAAAUAGUCUUUAUGCUAACAAAAUAUUAAAAAAUACGUUCUGCAACAUUUUAAAUCAUACGGUAGAAAAAAAAUCACCAUGAUAGAUAUUUUACGUACUAGUGAUGUAACAAUUAUAAUAAGUUACAAAUACAUGAUUAGCUUUGAGAAGUUGGGAAUUGCAGUUUAUAUCUAAAAUCUUUCUACAUCUAUUUUUAAAUUAUUGUACCAUAAAUGUGUAGAUGAACUCACAUUUUUUGUUACUUGUUUUUCACUUAAAAAUGGCCGUAAUUUCAAUUUAACCUUAAAAAUAAUAUUUUGUGUAAUAAUACACAUAAAUCAUGAGGAAAAAUAAUAAAAGUUCUUGAUAUGACCUAUUGUUCAAACAUAUUAAAAUGACUUGUAUAUAGAAUCUGAUGGAGUAUAAAAUUUUGUAUAUUAGUUAUGUACAAUUUUAUCCAUCUCGCGCUCCUUGAUGUCAAAGGAGUGACCUGGUUAGAAUCGCAACUUUGUAAGAAGGAGAGUGCAAAGGGCAAUGCUGGCGGUGACCGCUCACCUGUCGUGGUCGCCUGCGUCUGCCUGUCGCCGGAGAGAAAGGGAAACAAAACUGUUGUUGAAUUUGGAGGAUCUCAAUGGCGACCGGAGAAGACAAGCAUCCUCUUUUUAUAUAGCAUGAGAAGCGUGAGAACGGUGAGAGCGAGACAAGGAAUUUGAUGGCUCAAUGCCAUGCAGCACAACGGUUUUGUGUUUGACGAUGCGGGUGCAUGACCCAACCCUAUCUUUUUUUAAGGCAAACUUUGGGGAGUUCCUCACAACACUUUAUUUUAUAUAUUAAGGUUAGAGAGUUAGCGUCACAUACUUACAAAUAUGUACAAAGAGUGAGGGCACUGAUGUUAGGGAUAGAUCUCAGUACCUGUAAGUAAGGAAGAAGACGGACUUCCACUAGUAUUCACUGCAAUCCUACUAUAACUCAUACCUUGUAAUCCUACUUGAACAUUUCCUUAUAACAAUUAGUAAUCACAUCCCUUGGAGUAUAUAAAGUAGGGCAGGGGUACUUAGAUCAGCAAAACCAUGAUGGAAGACCAAAUCCUUAACACCAAACAACACCCAAGCGCAGGGCGCGGCGCAAUAUACAACACCCCAAACAUAACGUAGGGUAUUACGCUACUUUGACGACCCGAACCUAUAUAAAGCUGUCUUAUGUCCUCGCUUUUACCAUCAAGUUACAGAUCCGGCGAUCCCCCACCAACCAAUCUACUACCUCGGGAUACCCUUGGUAGGUUGUCGGGCCGACAUCCGGCGUGCCAGGUAGGGGUGAUUAUCGAGAUCAUCGGGCGAGCUUAAAGGACCUCAUCUUCAAAAUCAAUCUACUCGAUGAGAAGGAAGUCGUUGAGUUCCAAUUCGAAGCGGAUACGAGAAGCCAGUGGGAGAUCAAUCAGUUGUCGGCUCGUCUGCAUGCAAAAAACUGCAGCACUAGUCGCACUGCUAUAGCUGAUCAUCCUUUGUGGCUCCGUGCGUCGCUCAAGGCUAAUGAUCCGCUACCGCUCCAUGCCCGUGAGAAGGAAAAAUACCAGCGGAAUUAUUUUUCCAUCUCCAAGUCGAAGUCACCGUCGAUGCAUCUUAUGCUAAUUAUCUCCGGUUGCCGAAUCCUAUAUUGAAGUGAUGAAAGCCAAUCAAUAUUCCAUCUACUGCCCGUGCGCGGAUCGAGGAAACUAUACGAGUACUCCCCAUGUAAGGCUACUUUUUGGAAUUUCAGUACACGUACCAGGAAGGCUACCAGGAGAUAUGUUUCUCUUCACUACACGUACUCAAGAAAUGCACGUGGCACUUCAGCAUGCAUGACUGCGCUGGCUUCACCGGAACGCUCGGUGACACAAUAACGACUACCUAAAACUUCUUGUAUCGACUACAAACUAGUUGAGGGCGGGUUCCACGUGAUCAACAACUAGUCAGAAUCAACUCUGACUAGUCGGCUUCAUCAACAACCGUUGCGGCUUCACGACGACCGUCACGGCUUCAUCGACGAUCAUCCACGAAUCAAGCUAAGUCACUUUUUUAAUUAUUUUAUAUAAUUUUUUCAGCUUGUUUUUCGCAUGCAGGGCAACGCGCCGAGUACUUUUUUUUGUACGUCUCUCGACAGAAAUUACCCUCCAGAGCUACACUUUACCAAUUAUUUCUAGGACAUGUUAACCGACAACCAUGGGCUUGGUACACCGAAUUACGGAGGCUAUAGCCAGGGGUUUUGUGCACUGAGUUUUGGAAGAUCCGCCAACAGGCUUGGUACAUCGAAUUUCGGAGGCUACGGCCAUGAGGUUGGUGCACUGAGUGCUAGAGGCUCGUAGCGGCUACCCCCUAAGGAGGCACAAAUCCUAUGCGCGGCAACACUCGCUCUCCUCGCCAAAAGGCAAAAAAGUCUGAAUGACUAUUUUACGCGCAAUCGCGCUCUCUUUUUAUCGCAAUGUCGAUUACAUAUUUUUGUUGUCUCCUCUUAGCGGUCACUAAUCUCCUCAAGCAGAACACGCCUUAAUCCGUGAAAGCCUCAGAUCUUCUGUCAUGCCUAAACGCUAGGACGCGUACACGAGACAAAGAUCUCAGACGCGUAGCAGCAGUGCUAGUACGCGUACACGAGACACAGAUCUCAUACGUAAUGGCAAUAGCUAAACAGGAACUGAGAGCCUAAAUGUAUCAGGCUAACUACUCGGAAGAAAUAUGGCCGAAGCAAGAAAAUGACACACAACAUUUACAUUCAUACUGAGUAAAUUUCGGUAGUAUCUUCAAAAUUUUACAAAUAUACUACAUAUUAUAUGCAUCUCUUUUUGCAGAUCAAGCUUCGGCGAUGACUUUUCAGGACACUCAGCAUAUCUCCAGUGGCUCUGCUAACUCCCAGGCUUGGGGACUAAGCACUAAUUAAGCACUAAUUACUGCUCGGAAUAUUUCCAAUGGCUAAGCUAGCUUCCAAACUCGAGGGCUAAGCGCCAAAUAACUACUCGACGUGGCUCCUACGGCUUACCUGGCGUAUAAGCUUGAGGGCUGGACGCCGCAAAACUACUCAGAUGACGACUGGCGUGAAGACUAAACCUUGAUAGACUCUUGAAUUGAUUAUUUAAUCAUUCCAAGACUCGGGGGCUGAUAAACUACACCAAAUACUUGAUUUUUUCAAGAUGAAAGAAAAAGAUUCAAGAUUUUAUUGACCCUCAGCUUGAUUCUUCGAUUCAACCUAAGGUUCGAGGGCUACUCCAUAUGGAGUGUGACUUUCACACCCUCCAUAUCACAUUCCAAAGAUGAAAAUUAUAAAAUCAAGACGAUCAAGGAUUUGAGCACACCAUAGCCUCAUGGCUGCUUUGAGGAACUUUGAAGAUUCAGCCAGACAAAAUACUCGAAGAGCACCAAACUACUCGGCGAGGAUCUGAAAAGUACUCGAAGGCUGCUACACUCGACUAUGAAGCGCUUGGAGGCUUGUCGGGGAUAGAUCCCCAUACCCGUAAGGAAGGAAGAAAACGAACUCCUAAUAUGAUUCCCUGUAAUCCUACUGGAACUCAUACCUUAUAAUCCUACUAGGACUCCUCCUUGUAACUGACUAGUAAUCCCGCCUCCUGGAGUAUAUAAAGAAGAACGGGGAUACCUAUAUGGGCAGAACCACAACAUAGGACCAAAUCCUCAACACCAAACAACACCCAAGCGCAAGGUGCAAUAUACACAACCCCAACAGGACGUAGGGUAUUACGCUACUCUGGCGGCCCGAAUCUGUAUAAAUCUGUGUCUUGUGUCCUCGCUUUUACUAUCAAGUUUUAGAUCCAGCAAUUCCCCACCAACUAAUCUAUUACCUCGGGAUACCCUCGGUAGUACCGACAACAAAAAGAUACAAAUAGGAGUUUAGUCAUUGAGUAAGUUGAAGUCUACGGUCUUCUCGGAAGCGAAGCAGCUGGAGGAGAACUUUGUUCUUGCACCUCACAGUCCAAAGCUAAAUGCUAGUUUGAGGCAUAUCAAAGAUUAACAUUACACAUUUUCUAUAUUUCCCAUGACACUAUAAUGAAGAUUUCCACGAAGAACACUUGGGGAGAUGCUUGUCGUGUAGUUUUAAUCCUCUCGUAGAUGUUCAAUGAACUGUCCCAGUGAAACUGCAAUUUCAGCCAGCAGGUUUGUGCGAACUGGCAAUCAAAGAAGAGGUGAUCUCUGUCCUCAUCAAUGAGGGCAUCAUAGAGGACGCAAUUGAACCCUGUUUGUACAUUGAAAUGCCUUCUUCGCAUAAUAACUCUUGUAUUCAGACGAUCCACUACCAGUAACCAUGCAAAAAAUUUCAGCCGAGGCGUGCACUUGGAAUGUCAUAACCAAGCACGUCUGUGGGGCCUGAAAACUAGAGAAUACACAUUUGUAAAACUUGUUGUAGGUAUAUGUCAUUACCCCAGAUGAAGGUCCAAUGGUCUCUCAUGUUGGCAUCAUAUGAAAUUUCCUGCAGAUAGAGAUGUAAUUGUUGCAUUUUAAGUAUAAGCUUCCUGUGAAAGUGGAAGCGUGAAAACAGUCUCUAGAUCAACAGUAUUCAUGACAUCUUUCACUGAGAGUUGGGUGUUGUUUGCAAAAGAGAAGAGCCUGGGGAAUAGAUCAGCUACCACAUGCCAAUACACCCUAUAAAUAACUCGUGGCCACACGCCAAUACACCCUUAGUUUACGAGACCCUUCCACCACAUGUAUAGCAAAAUGUCGUCGAACUAUAGUGAAAUAGCACCGAGCCAUCAUCUGCCGGUGCCAUGCCUCGUCGUCGAUCCCGAUGCGAUAACCGGAGAGGGACGCACCGUUCUGCUAGACUCCAAAGGCGAACGCCUCACACGCGACAUCGAGGCUUUGAAGAGUAAUACGAGAUUUGGACUCACCUGGCAAGGGUGGAUACUGUCUUCGGAUCCAGAUGAUCGCCGCACCUUCCUCUACGACGACCCUCAUACUUCGGACAAGAUUGAGCUGCCACAUUUGGAGACCCAGGUGCUACCGCGAAAUUUUGAGUGCGCGUUGUCUGACAAACCAACAAAUAUUGGAUGCGUAGUGGUCGUUCUUCAUCCAGAAGAUACAUGUUUUUGGUAUUGCCGCAUCGGUGGACAUGAGUGGAUCGAAUAUGACUACGACGUGGGAAGCCAAAAGUAUGAUGCUAAAGGUUUGGUUUGCAUAUCUUCAGCUUAACAAAGAAUACCGAACGAGUAUGCUUCCAUCCUUCCAAAGAUAUUCCAAAGCUGUCUUCUAAAGCUUUCUGGUUGCUACCUACCAAUUGAAGUGCAAACCGGGAUGGAGAGACACCGUAGGCGUUUCAGCUAGCGUCUUCGUCCCCACUGUAUAGUUCCUUUUACAUAAUUUGUGUUGUAUGUGUAUUUCAGUACACUACAUAUGAGCCAAUUACGCAUAUAUCCAUGUGCUAGUCCAAUUGCAUUGCAUUGGUAAACAUUAGCAACACCGAUCUUGUAUAUCUCUAUUUGACAUUAUAUAUAAGUAGCUAGUAAUACGGUUUUCAUUAUGCACAUGACUUACACACAUUGCCGAGCGGAGACGUUAAUGCCGUGACAAAGGGGUAAAGUAUUCUUUUCGGGCACUUCUCGAGGACGGGCGGCUGCACGGCAUGAUUGGACAGCCGCGAGGAGCCGAGGACCGGUCGGUGACGUACCUAAACCUAGGGAGCCCCACUGUCGUCUGGUCGGACAUGAUCCACCAAAUGUCAGGGGUAUGGGGCCGUCACGGCAUAGGAUGGUCAGGGAGUUAGGGAGGCCAUGUAUGGACACAUAAGCUACACCAUGAAUCCAUCCCAAUUUCAACCGACGGGACGACACAUACGGGGUGAUUGGUUUGUGCCCCUGCUGAGCCUGGCUCGCCCAAGUUGGCCAGGCCCGACACAUGCAUGGUGAGCAUGAUUGGUUGAGCAUUUCAUUCCAACUAGACUUGCUUGCAUUUACAUAGGGAUAGUAAAUUUUUAUGUACGAUUCAUGUGCUCGCUACGCCCGCUCGAGCCAGGCUGCACGGAAACAUCGAUUUCUCUCAUAUCUACCGAGCCUGGUUGGAGGAGGCUUCUUGCACCGCACGGGCUAGGUCUUCGGACAACCAAUCACGAGCAGGUUGCAUCUGACGAGCAUGGCUGAGAUAUUUACAUGCAACCAAUCAACAUUAUAAGCGAUACCGUGCAAAUCCAACAUGCUCCGGCUCUUCAUUCGCUCUCCCAUACUAGUUUCUCGUUAUCUUUCUUCCUCCGAUCCGGAGCAUCACACGACGAACAUGUGUGAUGAUGGGUUUAUUUCAUCACAAAUUUACUGUAGUUGACACAAUAUUUUUGAAAGCAACGGAAUGGAAUUCCUCCUGGAAUAGCAUGGGUUUUGAAGAAGACCACAGGUGUCGAGCACAACGAUUCAAAUGUACACCCUUUUUUGUGUUUUUGGAUUUUGGAAAACCUGAAAACUCGAGGGGGAUAAUUGAGAAGUUUACCUGCUCACCGUCUCGACACCCGGAGGAACCCAACCACUGCCCUCGCGACACCGACAGGGAGAAGAGGCUCGUGCUCCUGCCGCCCGCCGCGACACGCUCCCCACGAGAUCUCCGCCUCCCGUCGCGGCAGAUCCACCCAGCCGCACCCCCGCCGGCGUGGUCUCCCUCUUGAUACCGGAGAUGGCGGGGAUGGAGGCCUUCGAGGCCUACUUCCGCCGCGCGGAUUUGAACCAGGACGGCCGCAUCAGCGGCCAGGAGGCCGUCGCCUUCUUCCAGGGCGCCAAUCUGCCGCAGCAAGUCCUCGCCCAGGUGCGCCCCCCUAAACCCUCCCUCCAAUUCGCGCAUUUGCACAUUUCGAGCGCCCAAUUUUAGGCUUGAUCUCCGCAAAUGGUAGUAGAUCCCUCGCCCCGCGAAUUCGAAUGACUUGGAGUUUUUCGGAUGCGCGCAGGUAUGGAUGCACGCCGAUCAGAACAAGACUGGCUUCCUCGGCCGCCCGGAGUUCUUCAACGCGCUUCGCCUCGUCACCGUGGCGCAGAGCGGGCGUCAGCUCACGCCCGACAUAGUGCAGUCGGCGCUCUAUGGUCCUGCCGCGGCUAGAAUCCCAGCUCCGAAGAUUGCCACUGGACAGGCUCCUCCACAGAUGGGUGCGGCUGGGGCUGCUAGGCCGCAGGGGAGUGCUGCGAUGACGCCAACUCCAGGGCAGGUUGGAGCGGUUGCCGCCGCACCAAGGCCCCAGGGGACUGGCGUGAUCCCGACUUCUACUCAAGUUAGCAUGCCACAGGUGAACCCUGGAGCUGCUCCAAGACCCCAAGGGAUCAAUUCGAUAAUGCCGGCUGCGAGUCAGGGUGGUGCUCUGCAGGCAACUCAAUUUGCCGGACCAAGGGCAAUGCAAUCGCAGCCUCCUAACAUGGGAUUUAAUCAACAGCCCCCUUCAAGUACUGGUUUCAUGCGGCCACCUCAGGUGGGAGUUCCAGCAUCAUCACUUCAAGCUCAAGCGCCUGGAACCAAUCAAGGUCCACUUGGUGGAGGCGGCAUGGGAGGAUCUGUCGGUUGGCAAGGUAGUAAUGUCGCCUCAGCAGGAGGCAUUCCGCAAGCUACACCAGGAGUUGCUCCUUCACAGACAACACGAGGUGGAUUUGGCCUAGGAUUGCCUGGAUCAGUGGGCAUGGCUCCUGGACAGCAGGUGCAAGCAAUGUCCUCAUCGCCAUUGCCUCCGCAGAGCAACAUUGCUGUUUCACCUCAGGAUUCAAAAGCUUUGGUACUGUCUGGAAAUGGCUCUGCCAGUAGCUCAGGAUCAAGCACAGACAUCUUCUCUGCUCUUACACAGCCAAAGCCAAGCGUAUCUGCACCUGCACCUCAGACAAGCUCAAUUCCCAGCUCAUCCAGUUUUAUGUCCACACCAACUGGCUCUCAGAACCUGACUAAUCUUGGACAGCUUGGUUCUUUGCAAGGUAGCAGCCAACCUCAACAGACUCAGCCUAUCACCAAGCCCAAUCUUCCUGUUUCAGCUGCACCUGUUGUUUCUGCUGGGGUUUCUAAUUCAGCUUCCCAGUGGCCGAAAAUUAGUCAAUCUGACAUCCAGAAGUACAUGAAAGUCUUUGGGGAUGUUGAUAGGGACAGAGAUGGCAAAAUAACUGGCGUAGAAGCUCGUACUCUGUUCCUCAGUUGGCGGCUUCCAAGAGGUGGGAUAUUGUCACCAACUUUUCACUGCCCUAAUUUUGUAUUUGUUGAUUACUUUUUUUGUUUCAACUUUAGUUUCAAUCAAUGUUAUCGUACUGUUGUUUCACCUUUUCUGUUGCUGUGGUUCUUUCUUUUUUAUGUGCUAAACAUAUCUCAUAGUAUGUAAUACCAUAGCUAUGAGCUAAUGCAAGUUUUAUUCUUUUAACCAAUUCAGAGGUCCUGAAGCAAGUGUGGGAUUUGUCUGAUCAAGAUAAUGAUGGCAUGCUUUCUCUGAGAGAGUUUUGCAUUGCUCUUUAUUUAAUGGAGAGGCACCGAGCUGGAACUCCUCUGCCCCCGGCACUUCCUGACUCACUUAGGCAUGAUGAGACGUUGUUACGAGCUACAGGCUUGCCUUCAACAGCAUAUAAUGGUCCAUCAUGGCAACAGAACCAAGGUAAUGCUUGGCUUCUCGUCUGUUUCUCAGCUACCAUAACCAUAUUGUGAUAUGGCAUCCUGUGUUGGUCCAUUGCUUACUUGCUAAAUUAUGUUGUCAGCAGCACAAAGAGGCCCUGGAGUACCUGGUGUGCCUACUGGUGGUGUGCGGCCACCCUUACCACCACAUUUGCAUUCACAGGCUGAUGCUACUAGCAGAUCAGGGCAGCCAAGACCUCACAUUCCCGGUAUGGAUAAUCAUGUGGUAACUCAAGGAAGCAAAGAUGACAGAAGCGGAAUGAACACAGCUGUGCAGGAGGUGGCGGAUGCUCCUAAGAAGGUAUGUGGACCCAUCCUUCUUUCCUCAAUUGUCUGUGUUGAUCAUCAGUUUACAACUCCUGUUCCACUUUUAUCAGGCUGACUCUGUGUUGAUCGAUUCAGCAAGCUGAUGCACCUUUAAAUUAGUUCAGCUGGUCUAAAUUAUUCAUUAGAAGAGCUGCAUACGUGUGCUUUCGAUAGGUGUGAUCAGGGAUGGAAGUGUGAAUCCAUAAAUAAGCUGUUUUAACGCACCCAGGGCUAAGCCUGCUAUACUUUUGAUCUUUUUUUGGUACCAACACCUGAGCUUAAUGUCAUUAGGUACAUAUUUAGUUCGUAUCAGUUUGCACUUGUGUCACACCAUCACAUUAGUUAAUUACACAACCAUUAAGGUGUGGUGAUUUUGCCCCAACCAAAUUUCCACUCCAUGUGUAUCAUAUUAAUUAAUAUAUGCUCAUACUCUUGCUCAGAAUAUUUUCCAGAGACUAUUUCUUUGCAUUUCUUUAGUUAGCUGUUCUCGGUAACCUUUUGAUCUUUUUUUUGGUACCAACACCUGAGCUUAAUGUCAUUAAGUACAUAUUUAGUUUGUAUCAGUUUGCACUUGUGUCACACCAUCACAUUAGUUAAUUACACAACCAUUAAGGUGUGGUGAUUUUGCCCCAAACAAAUUUCCACUCCAUGUGUAUCAUAUUAAUUAAUAUAUGCUCAUACUCUUGCUCAGAAUAUUUUCCAGAGACUAUUUCUUCGCAUUUCUUUAGUUAGCUGUGCUCGGUAACCUUUUGCUCGUUGCCAAACAACUCCCUCUCAAAUGGUAGAGGUUUCUGAAUCGGUUCACUCAUUGCAAAUAUUUGCUCCAUGCAAGUUAUGUUUUCAAUUCUGUAUGUACUGGCAGGUAUUGCUUAUGUGCUUAACGCAUUUAAUGCUUUCCUCUUUUACUAAUUUAUACAUUCGAAACCAUUUACCUUUUGUCUCUUUUGCAUUUUGAAGGUUGAAGUGGAGAAGCAGGUCCUGGACUCGAGAGAGAAACUGGAGUUCUACCGCACAAAGAUGCAAGAUCUUGUAAGCACAGUUGCAAUUUGAGUUUAGUUAGAUAUUUGAUCAUUGGCAUUAAAAGUUGUCUUUUAUCAUUCUUUUAAUUCCUUUAUUUCCCUUAUUUUGAAGGUCCUGUAUAAAAGUCGGUGCGACAAUAGGCUGAAUGAGAUCACAGAAAGGGCAUCCUCUGAUAAGCGUGAGGUACAGAUCACUGCUUAUAGUAGCCCCUUUUGAGCUGUAGUUAAUGAUAAAUUCUUGGAGGCAGACAAAUUAAUAUCACAGAACAUUGCUUCUUUCAAGAUGUGGACCAACAUCGCAAAAUGCAAUUGCUCAUUUGAGUUAUUUUCAAUGCUAAAUGCUUGGGGACACAAAUUCAUAGUUGAACUUUUGUUUGUUUUCCAGCAAACUAACCUAUGGUGUUAAUUUAAUUUAGGUGGAAUCAUUGGCUAAGAAAUAUGAAGAGAAGUACAAGCAAGUGGCAGAAUUAGCUUCCAAACUGGCAGUUGAAGAAGCUGCAUUUCGUGACGUUCAGGUAUUUGCAUUCCUGCACCUCAAAAGAAAAAUCUCUUCAUAUAUAGUUUUUUUUUUGUAUUUAUCAUCAGCCUCAUUUGCAUUCCAUCCCUUGAUUUAUGUUCUCUUCCCUCUUGAUGGAUUUCUGUGUCUUAAACUGGACCAUGUUAUUUUGUUCAGGAGAGAAAAGUUGAGCUGCAUGAUGCGUUAGUUAAAAUGGUACAAGGCGGAAGUGUUGAUGGUUUGCUUCAGGUACGCUGUAACUUUGCUAGGUACGCUUUUGUUGUAUUUCUCAAUAACACUGGUCCUUUCCUAGGUUCGAGCCGAUCGAAUCCAACAUCAAUUAGAAGAGAUGGAGAAAGCUCUUAGUGAACGGUGCAAGCACUUUGGACUCCAAUUCAAGUCGUCCGCUACUGUUGAGCUUCCUUCUGGUAUCUGACUUUCCAUCUUCCUGUAAUUACUAUUUCAUUAUUCCUGACUUUCCAACUUCAUGUGGUCUUUAUAAUGCUAGCGGCUUUGUUUUGCUCCCUGUAUGCAACAUUGCACAUCUUUUGAUCACUUCUUCUCUUGUCUUUAUUUGUUAGGUUGGGAACCUGGCCCACAAGAGGGAACCAUCGAGUGGGAUGAAGACUGGGAUAAAUUUGAGGAUGAAGGUUAAAUACUUCCAUUUCAUUCUUCUCUAUUAUUACUCAAGCGUACCUGAAGUUUGAUUUAUUUUCAAAGUUGGCCAUAUUCAUGUUUAUACAUCAGAGUACUCUGCAUGUUGUGCACAGUUUUUCAAUACAGUGUCUGUCAUGCUGCUGCUUACAAAAUGUUUGUGCCUUUACUAAUUUACAAAUGGGUGUUAGCAUAACAUCCGUACUGGUACCUUAUCUGUGAAAGAUGCCAUGUCUUCCACACCUGUAAACAGAUACCAGCAAUGUCAUAUCCUGAAAUAAGCAACCACGACUAUUUCUAAGCCUGAUACAUUGUGUAGUUUAGUAUGAUUUGUCAAAUGUUAGCUAUUGCAGAUAAAAUUCAUUUCCUGUCAUUUUCCUUGUUUGGGUUCCUUUUCAUUGGAUAUAUCAAGUCAGUGCCUCUAGUGAACCUUCUGUGGCUAGGACAUAGUGUUGUACAUAGAUUUUGAUGACAUGAUCUAUUGUUAAUUUGUGUCUUCUACCUGGGCAAGUUUUUUCCUUGUUUUCCCAAUUUAACCUUACUGUAUUCCUGAUCAUAUCAUAUGGCAUAGCAGGGUUUGGUAUUGUUAAGGAUAAUGGUACGAUACAUGAAAACCCAGUUUCUGCUGAAAAUACAAAAGUACCAUCUCUUUGGGAUGAUGGGGAUGAUAUGUCCCCCGUUGCAUCUUCUAAUGGUCAUAUCAAGGAUGAAAGACGUUACAGUGGUGGUGACCGAGUGGCUGAGAGUGAAAUAGGAUAUGAUUUUGGUGAUGAUUCUGUGAGGAGCCCUGGUAGUGCUGGAAGGAGUGCCUCAGGAAGUCCAUUUAAAUCUUCCCGCUUUGGGAUGCAUGACUCAUCUCCCAGCAAAAGAGAAAGCUACAGGUACUUGUUUCCACCUUUGGUUUAUGCGUGUUAUAGAUGUUUACCUUGGUGCUUCCUAAGUGUCUCUGAAAAAGAUGCUGAAGAGUGUAAAUCGUAUUUGUAUCCCAUAUGUGAAUAACAUCAAUUAUUAUUUUGACGCAGUGAUCAUGGUGGUUCUGAAUCUGUUUUUGGAGACAAGUUUGCUGAUGAAACUUCCUGGAACUUUGAUGAUCAAGAUACUGACUCUGUUUGGGGUUCUACUGCACUGAACACUGUAAGCUAUGCAGUUUCUUAUUUCUUUCUUUAAUUUUUUGGUAUGUGGGUGCGUGUCUAUCCCUUGCCUGUUUCUGAUGAACUGUCUUAAUACAGGAGACUGACCAUCAUGGUGGCGCACAUAACUCUUUCUUUGGGUCUGAGGCAGGCUCGCCAAGUGGCGCUAGUGUAUUUGGAAAGAAGAGAAGUUCGUUCUUUGAUGAUUCCGUCCCAAGUUCACCUGCAUACACAUCUGGUUUCUCACCCAAAUUCGGUGAAAGCCGUGAUGAUAGCUCCUCUUAUAACUUUGGGAGGUUUGAUUCCUUCAGAUCCCAAGACACUGGAUUCUUCCCGCAGGAAAGUCGUUUUUCCAGGUUUGACUCCAUUAGCAGCUCCAAAGGAGAGACUGUGUCAGGAUUUGAUGCAGGGAAUAGCUCGCGGAAUUUUGGCCGGUUUGACUCUUUUGAUGAUGCCGAUCCAUUCGGUUCGAGUGGACCAUUUAAAGCAUCUGGAAGCCGGUCUCCCCCUAAGUUCUGAUAUGCUUUCUGCUCUGAUAGGGAUUGUGUCUUGUGAGUUGAUUUGUCAAUACAAAGUUCUGAUUCUUUGAGCGAACUCUGACAUUUUGAUGCCAUGGAUAGUCAUUUUGCUUGGCAUUUGUACCAUUUACCUUGUGUGCAAUUUUCUGGUCCAACUCGCGUACAAAGUGGACAGGUUUGGGUUAUAUCUUUGUUUUUUGUAAUCCUUCUCUUUAUCUUGUAAGUUGUAAAUUACACCGAGUUUGUCUUUGUUUAUAUGAAUUGGACGACUACUCGUGAUAACCUUUUUUUUUAUUAUCUUCAUUAUACUUUUGUAUAAUACUACUAUAUGGUAUGCCAAUGUUGGCUCAAGACCUUGAGUAAAUUGGGAAGAGGUUCAACAUUCUUUAUAAUCUCUGACAUGCCUUGUUUCUACUCCUGACGCCAUUUUAGAAUCAGUUACAGUGUGUGACUGUUUCACCUGUAGUCUCCCAGGUGCAAUGUAGCUUCUAUAUUUUAUCCUUCUAAUUUAGCUCCUGUUAUUACUUCAAAAGUGUCAAUACUUGCAACCUGCAUCUGCACAGAAGUUCAGAGUCAUUACUGUUCAUCAGGUUGACACGCGCCAGCUUUUUGCCUGAAAGGGAAAUCUCUUAAUGCUGUAUGCCGUGUACUUCAGUUACAUCGGCAUGCGAUUUCUGUCUGUUAUAAUAAAGCAGGCACCUAGUUCUCUGUUGCUUUAGAUAGCAUCAUCUAAAAACUGGUCACCCAAAGUUUAUGUAUCAAGCCACGCGACACAGGAAAGAGUGUUUCAGCUAUUACAACUUUGUUAUAAAUAGCAGCAAAAUGCACUCCAAACUAGAUCCCCGGACAUAAAUAGUUUGGAGUGCAUGUCUUCAUGCACUCCAAACUAGAUCCCCGGACAUGAAUGGUAACAGCUUACAACUAACGUUACCGUUACAUAGUACCGGCUAAUCAAAAUGCCGGCAAAAACCAAAAGCUCGCUUCUGACAAAAAAGAAUAACUUCCGCAGCGAAAC